AAGCUUUGGUGAACGUUACCUGUCCACCGUUCUUUUCCAGUCAAUCCGAGAAGAGUGCGAGAAAAUGCAACCUGUGCCGUGAAAUAUUCUGCUGUUUUGAAGCCACCAACUGAUAACAAAACGUUGUUAGAAGCUUUCAUUGUGCUUCACCAUGGGGAUGUUUUGAGCUUGUUUUAAUUGUUAUUGCGAAAUAGAAAUGUUUUGUUUUCUAUCUCUACAUUUUACAGGAAGAAAUUGUGAACACGGAUGUAAAUCUUUAUCUAGCAAUGGUGAAAUAAACCCCUGGAAGAUUUAUUUAUGGUGCUAUUAUAAAGCAAAUUCAGCUUAUGUAAUCAAGGGGAAUCCCAUUUGGGGUUGUAAAUUUCUGUUUAACCAUUUAUACGUACCUUACAGUCUGAAUUCACUAUUGUGAUUCAUUUUUCUGAUUGCUAAUUGGGGUGGGCAUAAAUUAUUGAUCUGAUUCCAAAGGUCCCACCUUAUUCCAUAUUUGAUCCAACGGUCUCGAGGAAAUCAGCAAUUAUUCCAACAAAUCUAGCCGUUGAACAAUCUUCAAUCUCCAUUUUUCUCAAGUGCCGUUGCUUCUAACGGUCAUAAUGCUAUCGAGUAAAAUGCAUAACUUAUCGGUAUAUUUGGGAUAUAAUUAUUAAUUUUAAGUAGGUUGUUUGUUUUUAAAUUUAGACUUGAUUAUUAGUAAAAUGACUUAAUAGUUUUGGGAUUAUAAUUAUAAUUCCAAAACUUCUAUAAUUAUAAUUAUAAUUCUAGGAUUAAUUGUUUUGCGAUUAUAAUAUAUGUAAACAAACAUAAUUUUAGUAUAUUUGGAUAUAGUGUACCUUUUUAUUAGUUAAUGCAAAACAAGCCCUCUACAAUAGAAAAUUUUGAAUAACAAACAUUUUAUGAUGACAUGCAAGUAAGUCAAAUUAAAACUAAAAAAUUUGUUUCCGUCAAUGUUCGAACUUAAAACCUCAAUCUCAUAACCUUAACAAAGGUUCCAACAAAGUUGAAUGAUAUAUUUGUAAAUGAGACUAUAUAUAUAUAUAUAUAUAUAUAUAUAUAAUUAGAAUUUUGUCGGAAAAGCACAAGAUCGGUUCAGAUUCAUUCUAAUUUUUAGAUUGUUAAAACAAAGAAAGAGGGAGGCACGGAGAGAGAUGGAGGAUUUCGUUACGCCGUGUCUUCAGGUACGUGCAAUUACUAGUAUAUAUAUAUAUAUAUAAAUAAGUGGGUAAACUCCUUCUGUGCUUGAUAAAUAUUUUGGAUAAAGGAGUCAUAGUGUUUAUGAUUAGUCAUAACACCAAAUUUAUUUAUUAUUUUUGGUAAACUUUUUAUAUUAUUUUCCCUCUAACUACAUAAAUUUGAUGUUAUGACUCUAAUCAUGGUUUGAGCAAAUACAUAGUUGAAAGAAUUACUACUCUUGUAAGAAUACAGAGAGAGAAUGUGGACGGGCAUGUGGUUUUUAAGGGAGUGGUUAGCAUGAAGUUAAUUUUGGCCAAUUGAUCAAUACAGUGUCGACACACAUGCCGGGAGAUAACCUCUCUCUACGUGUCAGCACUGUAUUGGUCAAUUGACUAACUUACUAUGAAGUUAACUUCAUGAUAACCGGAUCUGGUUUUUAACACUUUAAUAAAGUGGUAUUUUUUUUUCUUCUAAAUAAUCUAGUGACCCUUUAGAUGAUAAAUAUUUGUUGUAUAUUUUUAGUUAGUUUUAAAAGUGAUAAUGCAACAUAAAUAUGUAAUUUUGAUGUAUAAAGAUGUAUGUUAGGUUAUUAGCUUUUGCAUAUGUAUAAUUUUAUGAUUUUGGAGGUUGCAUUGCAUACUUAUGUUUAAACCUCAUACUUUUUUUAUGUAUUUAGAGAAAAAAUUAUAAACAAAGUUUACCCAAAAUAAUAAAUAAAUUUAGUGCUAGGAAUCUAAUCAUACAACAUUAUAUACCUUCUUUGAAGUAUUUAUCAAACACCGAAAGAGUUUACUCACUUAUUUAUAUCUCUUUUUUUAUAGUUUAAAUGGAGAAAUUUGUAUAAAUAUAAUUUAUAUCGUCAAAUUUACAAUUAUGACAUGUAGUUUGGUUGGAUAAUUCCCUAAGGUUAUUGAAUUGAGAUAUUAAGUUUGAAUUUUGACCAAAACAAAUUUUUUAAUCUUAGAUUGACUUAAUUACAUGUCAUCAUUGUCACGGAGGAUAUUCAAUGUCCAGCUGAAGGUUUCUUAUCCAAAUUUUUCUAUAGUAGAGGGCUUGUUUUACAUUGAUCAACAAAAAAGGGCACAAUAUUCAAAUGGGCAAAGUUGAAAGAAAGCCACUAUUGUUUACCUCGAAGUCCUACUUACACCCUCAACUUUUUUUUUCUCCAAACGUGACGUGUUAAAAUUAUGUACUGCAAGUGCACAUUGUCGAAUUGAAGAACUGACAAGUACAGGUCGAACCCACAAAGACUAUACUAAUUUUAACGUAUCCUUAAUAUCUAUUUUAGGCAAAAUAGAAAUAAAGAUUGAAAAUUGAUUAACUAGAAUAUGAAAACUAAUGAGGAAAUAAUCUAGGAAUCCGAAUUCAUUAAAUAAUAAACAUAACAUAUAUAUAAUUCAAUCUCUUCUAUUUUUAUAACUUAAUUAUGAUUUUGAUCUCCAUUCCUUUUAAUUUAGUAAUUUUACAAUUAACGUGGGGAAACAUAGACUGAAAAUUUAAGGAUUAACUAUAACCCAUCAAAACUUCUUUGAGCAAACAUGGAUUAUGAAAAACUCAUUUUUUAACAAUAAUCUAUCAAAACUUCUUAAUUAAUUUAAAAUCACAUAAGAAUUAUAAAAUGAAUGUAUUUCAAUAACGAAACAUGAAGGCAAAAUCAAUUAAACAUGAAUUCAUAAAUAAUAGAAAAGAUGAAAAAUAUUAUCAAGAAUAAUUAUUUAAUUUCAUCUUCAUCCUAGAUGAAAGAAAUUAGCUAGACAUGGAAAAUAAUUAAACUAACUAAAAAAAAAAUAAUAAGAAGAAAAUUCUCUUUAAUUAAGGAUCAUCCAACGAACGUACAAUGAAAAAGUAAUUUAAUCUACUCCUACUCCUAACCUAAACUAAUACAAUCUCCUAAUGCCCCUUCACUCUAAAACAAGAGACCUAUUUAUAGGGAAAAUAAAUUUAUGCCCUAAUUUAGAUUCAUUGAACUUGGACACUUUUGUUCUUUUUUUUCUCUUCUUGACUUCAAUAUCUAUAUGGUAAUCCUCCAAGAGUCAUUUUCACUCUAUAAAAGUUGGAUAUAAAUCCUUUAUUUGCUUCCCAAGAAAAAUAAAUGUCAUUUUCUACAAAAUAAAAUAAAAUGUAUUAGUUAAAUAAAAUAAACAUAUAAAAUAAUAAAUAUGGGAAUAUUAAAAUGUAUUAAUUAUGUGUCUAUCAGUACACUAGACGUUAUAAAUUUUAGGUCAAUUGUGCCCCUGCCUCUUACAUAUAUGUCACUUACACUAAUUUCGCGUACACCUGAAUAUUUUUCGCUAAGGAGACAUGAAUAUAUAUAGAACAAAAGGGGUAAAAAGCCCUAAUCCUGCCAUUCUUUUCUUUAGUAGUAGAGAGGAGAAAAAAAUUAAGCCCUAAUAGUUGAAUCGGUUCUAAACCCUCGAAAAAUCGUCAUCACCAUCCUUUUUGAAACUGGUCGAAGAAUUGCCAUGGCUUACAGAUCGUCGUCGUCGUCAUCAUCCUUUACUCGAAGACGCGCCAUUGAUGUUGAUUACGAAGUUAUGCCAUUGUGUUAUUGUGGGUUAAGAUCUCUGUCAGGAAUAAACAUGUGAAUGAUAAUCCUAUUUAUAUAUGAUUUGAUUAUGAUAUAUAUAUAUAUAUAUAUAUAUAUAUAUAUAUAUAUAUAUAUAUAUAUAUGAAUGAAUAUGCAAGUAUGAUUGCAUUAAGAAAAGCUGUAAAGUUCUUUGAUAGAUAAUAGAAACAUAUGUACAAGGACUUAGAAUGAAUUGAUCAAAUGUGUUAAGUUGAUCCUACAUAAGCAAAACAGCUUUGUAAAGUCCUUAAAAAGAAAUGAUGUACAAGGACUAUAAAUAUAGAAAGAUCAAGCAUGUUAGGUUGAUCUUAUGAUGUAAUAGAUAGGCUUGUCUGAUCGUCGAGCACUGCACCAGAAAUCGUAGUCUGCCAGGAGAGUCAAGGAAAACUCGAGAGCUAUCGAGGCAGAAUCGUAGUCUGCAAGAUAGUAGAUCUUAAAGUUCGUAGACUUCUAGGAGAGACGAGGAAGGAUCGUAGUGUGUCGAGGAGAACUUUCUCAGGGCCGUAGUCUGCUGAGGAAGUCAUGUUCAGAAUCGUAGAGACAGCCUGCCUACGAGCCGACCGAGUAUCUGCCAAAGCUAAGUCAAGAAUCGUAGACUACACUCAGAGUUGUAGAGUCUACUAAUCAUACCAAAGGCAGAGAUCGUAGUCGAGCAAGAUCAGAUGAAGAUAACAAGCACAACGACAGAAAUCGUAGUGUCAAGAUCUGAUCUCAGUCAUAGUGUCUGCACAGCCAAAGCUGAAUCCUAGAGUGCAGAACUAAGACCUCAACAGAGGUGCUCACAAUGCCAAGGCAGAAUCGUAGAGCAAAUACGAUUCUCAACUAAUGUGCACUCCCAGAAUAUCCAAAGGAAUGCAGCCUCUGGUUGGCACUGCAUAGAUACGUCCCACCUGAAGGAAACCAGAGAGCACUCAAAAAAUGGCAUGCAAGCUAACAGAAGAUCUAAGUACCAACCCAAUCAGCAUCAAGAUUGAGUUGUGAAGCCAUUCGAGAUGAAGUCUUCCACAAGGAGAUCAGAAGAAGACUUCUGUAACUGACUAAGAAAUGUCAGCAAGUGCAGUAGCUGUCAAGCAGACGGAAGAUAACGAUCUUGGAAGUUACCAGGAUUAUAGUGUUUGCCAAACAAAGAAAGAACUGAUGGAGUGCAUAUAGAGAUACUGGACAGCUUCUGAAGAACAAGACUAAAGUGAUUAAGCAUUGGGUCAAUCCAUUGAUGAUAAGUGAACGGGAGAUCACAAGGAGAAAGCGAGCUGGACACGCCACAAAUUUGAAGUGUCUUGUUAUUCAGAAGGGGCCAGAGCAAGAAGUCAAGCCAUCAGUAUCUGAGAGCUGUUGAGGCAAACAGAAGUGUUGAAGCACUGCACAAGAGAAGGAAGAGGUGUUCUACAUUGAAGAUCAAAUCAACACUCUUCAAGAUCGUAGUGUUGUCUCUACCAGUCAACAAGACACUACGAUCAGGUCCAUGAAGACAUGCAUCAGAAUCGUAGAGUUCGAAUAGCUGAAGACUGAAGCAUUGGCAACGGUUCAAUCUGAAGGGUAAUAUUCGGACAAGAGCUUAUUGAGAGCAUCGAUGCAAGGACAACCUCUGAUCGAGAAAUCAGAAGGGUGAAAUAAAGUCGUCGACCUGCCCAAGAUAUCAAAGUGACAUAUCUGACAGGGUUGGUGAAACAGUAGACUGCAGUGUCAGGAAGUCAGAAAAAGAUGUCAUGUCACAUCUGCAGUCUGCACCAAAUAACUCGAGAUCUGCGAAGAAAUUUGAAUAGCUUUCAACGGCUACUUUCCAACGGGAAGAUUGGGAAGCAGUAUAAAUCAACAGAGCUUCAAAGAUCAAGAGUUGCUGAUGAUUGUGAAGUUGCAGAAUCGUUGAGUUGGUGAAUGCUAUUGUUGACUCUACGAGUUCCACCAAAGAUCAAUAGAACAAGUCUCAGUGACACUGAGACUAUCAAGGUGGAAGUGAAGCAGCUUUGAAGAAGGAAUCAAACAGAUCGAAGCUUCACUCAACAAAGAUGAGAAUGCCACUGAAGAUGGCAGCCAAGCUGAGAGCCGAGAAGGCCAAGAAGAUAGCAUUCAGGAAAGUGGCUAAGUACAAAGAAGAUCAAGAGAGCCACUCUACGAAUCACCAUGAACCGAAAGCUGAAAAUGAACAAGUGCAGAACCAUGUCUGCAAAGUAUUCAAGAAGGGUUCAGGAAUUGCUAAGUGCCAGACAAAGUCUACUAAAAGCACAGAGACUUAUCAAACCCAGAUGGUGAUGGUGCACAGCUGAUACCAGAUGAAGAUGAGCAGAAAAGAGUGAAGAUCAGCUGCACCAAAGAAGAUGUGGUCCAGACUCGAAGCAGAAUGCAAAGAGGACCACACCAAGCUGCUAAGUACAAAAGAUGUUUAGAGCUUAAUGACAUCUUAGCAGCUCAGCACCACCACCAACAACAACAACUACAACAACAAGAAGCCAGGGCCUGAGGGGUCCUUGUCCGGAGGGACUAAAUGAAGUUCCAAACCUGCUGGGUUUGAAGAGUUUCUAGGGAACUAGAGAAGUUCCAAGGCUGCUGGCCUUGAAGAGUUCUUAGUGAACUGAAGUCCCAAGGCUGCUGGCCUUGAAGGAAUCUUAGUGAUUCAGGGUGUUGCCCUUCCUUAGUGAAAAUCCUACUAGUUGAAAGCAGAAGAGUGGAUUAAGAGCUUGAGUCUCUGAACCACUUAAAACCCCUUGUGUCUCUUACUUUAUGUCAUUUACUUUAUGUACAUUAAUUGCUAUAACUGCUAUGUAUGUCAUAACUGCUUAUCACUGAACUAACUCUACGAACAAUGUAUGUAUGAUUAUGAAUAUAUCAAUGGAGGGGAUCUUUUUACUUAUUCCGCUUUGAAAAGAUUCUUAUGUCUAUCACAUGCUAAAUUAUUAGCAAUACAAAAUAAACUGGAAAAGUAUUUUGAAAUUCUAAGGAUCUAUUCAGCCCCCCCUCUAGAUCUAUUGUGCCUACUAGGAACUAACAAUUGGUAUCAGAGCAGGUUCUCAUGCUACAUUCAAAAGCCAAUCGCUUUGAGUCUGAUACUAGGCACAAACAUUGUUCUAAACUUAGUAAGUCACUUGUUAUAUGCAGAUGAGCUCACACGUUGGAAAUAUUAUGUACAGGUAAAUGUGCAUAUACACCUGAAGAUGCUCAGAUUGGUUCAUAUCUUUGAUUAUCAUAUCAACAAGACCAAUCCCUGCUCAAUGUCAAUCUUGUUGUCUGAAGACCAGGAUAGAAAGCUCAAGAGAUAUCAACAGAAAAGAUUCAAACAUCCACCAGCCUGAAAAGAUGAAAAGGCCAUACAUGCUAAGUAAUACUUAUCCAGAAAAGAAAAGAAGAACUUCUCAAUCAUAUGUUUGGUCAAACUGCAGCUGGAUGUAAACCUUGUGAACUCAAGGAUGUCAAAGAAUUAGAGAUGCUGACACUCUCUUAACUUGUAUCUUCAAGACCACGACUGAUUGACUGAAGAUCAACUGGAGCAACUGGCUGUCAGAAGCAAAUGAGAAAAUGUAAGAGUCCAACUUAUUAUGAAUAAAAUUAAAUUUUUGCUAUUUAUUAUCUUGAAAUAUUAAGGAGUUAAUUUGAUAUAAUACUUUGGUUAUGGGUGAAAUGUGCAAAUUUUACAAAAUAAGCACGUGGUUAUAAAAUAUUCAUUUUUGUCGGGGAAUAUUCGUUUGGUCGUGGAAUAUUCUUGUUGUCGGGGAAUAUUCGUACGACGGCGCAGCCAUUCGUGGGCCUCAUAACAGAAUAACUGUUGGAUGAAGAAAAUGACAAGUUUGAGUUUUUAUAAAUAACGGCGUAGUUGUUACCGUUAACACUGUUGGAAUACCCGGUGGUUAAAAUACAGUAAUACGCGUGGUUCCACAGUAGCACACGGUAUUGCACAAUAUUUUGAAUUAUUGAUUCUUACGUAAGAAUGCACUACUCAAUAAUUGUUACAGUAAUUACUGUUCAAUAUUUUAUUUUAUUGAUUCAAUAAUUGCUGCGUUGAUAUUUUAUAUUAUUGUUGUUUCAAUAAUUGUCACUGCACAGUAUUUCCCAUUAUCAGAUCAAUAAUUCAUAUUAUUUGAAUAAUAUUAUUAGAUAGCAUUAUUGGCAAUGUCUAGAAAGUUCUGUCAAGGAGAGGUUUGGUCACCUAAUUGCGCGCCAGUAAGGAGAAAUCCUUAUUGGAAAGCCCCCUCUUUCCUGGGAACGGCCUGGUUGUCAUUAUUGUGAUUCUGUAAUAUUAUUUGUGAAUAAUUAUUUAUUGAUUUAUAUGAUAAAGAAAUAUUUAUUUUAUGUGGCUAUUAAUGUUGAAGUGUUUUAUCAGUAUUUUUGUCGGAAUAGAGGUAUUAAAAAUCAAAUCAGUGUUCUUGAGAUAUAUUGCGUGAGUUAUAAUUUUUAAUCCGACCGUUGGAUCGUUGUGAUUUUUAGAUAUGUUAUACAUAUAUAAGUUGAGUAUAUGUCCACAAAUUUUGAACUGUUAAAAAUGAAUGUAUGAUUUGUUAUGAAUUUUAAGAGGUGACUGAUUCGGAAAUUAUGUUAUAAAUGAUUUUUGGUGGAAAAUUCUAGAAUUGAGUGGGCCCCACUUUUGGUUGGUGAGAAAUGUGCUCAAAUUUUAUUUCAAAUGUGGUGGGUGGAAAUAGUAACAGGUAAAGCCAUCAGGUAGCAGGUUAAGUCUGCUUCGGCGUGCUAGCAUUUUCCUAUAAAUAGGUGCUUAGGUUAGAAUUGAAAAUCACAUCAGAAACAUAAGCUUUCUCUUUUUCUCUCUCUAUAUUAUCGAGCGUAUUUUGUGAGUAUUUAGAUACUUUAAGAGUUGCUAUUCAGUACAAGUUUCAUUCAGCAUCACUUCUGACCUUUUAUUCUGAAGUACUGUUUCUUUGAUGUAAGAGAUGUUAUUUUCUUCUUAAAUGAUAUUAUUUUCUUCAAUAUCAUUAUGCUGAAAUAUUGAUAUAAAUUUUAUUGUGGAAUUUUUACCUUUUUGUGUCAGGGUUACUAUUCACGUAUACGGCACUAUUCACGAAUACGACACUAUUCACCGAAAAAUGAAAUUUUCUCUUUUUCGUCCCAGAUGUCUUUUAUGGUUACUAUAUUUGAUUGUAUCCAUGUUUUGAUCUUUAUUUUUGAAUUCUACUUCACACUUGAUUAUUAUGGAGUAUUAUUGAAUUUGGAUAAACCGAAAUACGAAUCCCUGAUAUUUGUCCUUCUGUCUCACUGGAUUCGUUCUCUAAAAUGUUUUUCAUCAUCCUCAGUCCUUAAUAGUGAUACUUGAUGAAUAUAUUUGGCCUGUAGUGCAAGGAUGAAUGAUUACCUGAUGAAUAUCUUUGGCCCAUAGUGCAAAGAUGAACAUGUGUUGAGAUGAACAUGACCAACUGGUGAUACAAAUGAAUAUCUUUGGCCCGUAGUGCAAAGAUGAAUAUUUGAUUCAAGAUGUAUAUUGAUUGAUGUUACAGGGAUAAAAUAUUGAUGAUGGACUUUUAAAUUCAUAAAUGACAGUAGAUUUCAUUCUCUACUUAAAUCUUCUAAUGAAUUGUUGUUUCCGCUGCAGUUGUUGAUCUAAAACUUGUUGUCGAUUAUAUUCUAUCAGAUUUUUCCCUGUUGAAGACUAAGGAUAAUUUGUUGUAUAUUAUCUUAGUAGUAAUAUUCUUUACUUGGCUAGUUGAGCUCACCCUUUUCCUUUUUGUUCCAUUUUUCUUCUCAAGAAGCGAGAGCAUAGCAGGAACCAGUCGCGGUAUAGAGUGAUGGUCCUAGACAGUUGUUUUAGUAGUCCUCACUAUUUUUGUAAAAUAAUGCAUCAAUAAUUGUAAUGAGGACUUUAUUUGAGUGUUGAUAUUGUCUAGAAGACAAUAUUUGUAUUUAAACUCACAGUAUGUGUUGUCGUAUUUUGCACGACAAUUGUAAUAAUAAAGUUGUAGUUGUUUUAUGUACCAUGUAUUUGGCGACUCGGAAUGGGUGAUGUAUACCUAUUUCGGGGGCGUCACAGAAAACAUGCACAUCAAUGCCUAAACUCAGUAUGUCUAAGAUAAAUGACUGUUAUGAAACCAACAGCAAAAAGGUACAGUUACUCACUAAUAUAAAUAUGAGCAUCAUAUUUGCACCUUACUUAUGAACUAUAACAGUUUUCCUUCAAAUACUCAUAAUCUAUCUAAAAAGGUGAAGAGAGAAAGUACACUGAUGAUAGAAACUCAAAUGUCUAUAAACUUUCUCUCCAUCCAAGUUUUAGGUUGAAGAUGACAUCUUGAAAGAAAUCUGAAAUGGGUCAUAAGAGCAUCACAGGUUAAACUAAUUUUAUGUGAAGUAAUCUUUGCUGAUGGGUUAGUAUGUAUGUACAAACCUAUGUUCUAAGAGUUUGAUAACCCACAGAGUAUGAUCAGUCCUGCAAAAGUAUCUUGAUGAUUUUUAGAAACUGAUCACCUCCAUGAAUCAACCAGAUACAAAUAAUUCGUAGAGUUAGUUCAUACUCUGAAAACAUCUAAACUCUGUGAACAUAAUCAAGCAAAUGAUGAAACCAUCAAAGAAAAAGAGUGUUUUAUUAAAAUAGCAAAUCUUACACACACUCACCUCAUGCAUCUCAAAAUGUAUUAUCUAAAUGAGUUACAUGCAUGAAUAUGACUGUUGGUGAUCAUUAUGAUGAUUAUCUAAAUAUAUGAGGAACAGGGGUUUAGAAAAUAACCUAGCAGGACCCAUUUAAUUAUGGGUACCAAAAAUAGAAAUGUAUAACCUGCAGGUACUUGGUCUAUCUGACCACACUAAGGAAUGUUAAAGCAGAAGACUUCAGUCAAGAAAGAUUCAACCAGCAGAAGGCUUAAGACUGUUCAGAAUUGAUUUUGAUAAAAUUCCUAUAUGUCAAAGCCUGUUCUUGAAGACCUGCUGAGCUAAUCUGAAUAAAGCUCACAUGGAUGCUGAUCUUUGUAUGAAAGCAGGCCAUUCAACAAAAGAAGAAAAAGGUCUUAUAUGCUCAAUCAUGCAAAGCAUGUCAUAAGAGAAGAAUCCUCAAGGAAGCUGACUAUAGAGGAUCAUCAAGCAUCAAUCAUGAGGAACUCAUUAUGGGAGCAGAACUCAGCAAGCACAAACUGACAAGGAAUACUACGUUCGUAGUGCUAUCAAAGGAUCGUAGAAUGAUCAACUCUGAAAAAUGCCCAUUUCUACAAUACAAGAAGAUUUAAUGACUUCAACCAGAAUGAGAUAUACAUGGUUGCCUUCUGCUACACAUGAAGAAGAAGAACUUAGGUCUCUCUGAGAAGACAGUAUCAACUAUGGGGAAGCAGUAAUCUGCUAACAGUACAGAAGCUCUAAACCAUCAGAGAUAUACUAUGAAGCUGUGUAUCAGCUACAGAGUUCCAAAGCCUUGUGGCAGAUGAACCAAAUGAAGAUCCGUAGUCAGUAAGAACGUCACAAAACGUACUACUGAUAACCUUUCAGCCACCCAACUCAAAAUCGUGGAGUACCUACGAUCAAGCAUCUGAUCGUAGUGCAAGAGCAAGAGGACACCAUAAUUGCAGCCAGUGCAGAUGUCUAAAGUUGGAAGAGGGACACCUCAACAGAAAAGGUCAAAUGAGAUAUCAGUACAAAUCACUUCUAAAGUAUUUCAUCUGGAAAGUGCCUCAGGGACAAACCUGACCCUUAGCUCACUCUAAGAGGUUGGCCCUUCCUGAGCUACCUUGACCCAGAAGGAAUGCUUAGUAAAGUUCAUCUCAAGGACCAAAUCAGUCAACGAUUGUAGAAUAGAGUUUAAGAGAACUCAACGAUCGUGAUGCAAUCUCAACGAUCGUAGUGAAAACUCAACAAUCGCAGAAGCAGACUCGACGAUCGCAGACUUACCAGAAGACACUCUAGCUCAUGAGGAGCUUGGAAGAAUGAAACAAUUGCUCUACCAUUCUGAAGUAUGAGGAGAUUAGUUCAAAUACAGUUUGGUAAGACAUCUUGCAAACGCACAUCAGAACUUAAGUAUCCAAACUGGCUUGGGGUACAUCAGUGGUUGAGCUAUGCAGUUUCAACAUGAGGAGAAAUGUCAAAAUCAUCCACUGCAACAUCCUUCAGAGAAUUGAUCGUUGAGUCAACAAAGAAAAACGUAGAGUCAAUAGCUGUUCUAUCAUGCUACUCUAUAAACUCAAAAGGUCAAAGGUCAAUCCACGUCAAUCAAACAUCCACUCUUCUAAAAGAGACAACUAACUGACAAGUUACUGGGGAGUUACAGCUUGUUACUGGGUAUCAUGCAACCAAUGACUGGGUGACACAUCACAUCAUAUACAAAGUCAGAAGAAACCGCCAUAAAGACAGAUUCAAAUCUGCAAACAGAUAUCAGAACCUCUCUCCCUCCCAUUUUCAAAACCUAGAAUUCUUUUCGAAGCCAAACCACUAAAACUUCCAGAGUUCAAAUCAUAAUUAGCCAUACUUCAUAAAUCUCCCUGAAUCAAUAUCCAUAUUCCUCGAAUCAUUCGAAUGGAAGAUUGGCGAGUAAUCACUGACAUUCAACUCGGAACCAAGUCAUUUGAGAAAUCCGAAAAGAAGUUCAGAGACAUUCUUGAACUCGUGAAGAAAGCUGGAUUCUCAGAAUGUCUUGAGGCAAACACUCGAGUAUACACUAAACUGGUUAAGGAAUUCUACUCAAAUGCAUCCGUAAAUGCCGGAACUCUUUCAACCAAGGUUAAAGGUCAGUCUCUAAAACUGAAAUCAUCCGAUAUCAACCAAUGCCUAGAUUUUCCUGACCUAGGACUGAAAAACCUUGAUGAGAUUGACACUGAGAAAGCAAAGGAGAUUAUGGGGUACCAAAGAAACUCUAGUCUGAAGGACAUGAAGAAAAAGGAGUUUCCAAAAGAAUUCGAGUUCCUUGCUGAGAUUGUUGGCAAAUGUAUACUAUGCAAAGAUACCGCACAUGACAUUGUGCUCGACCAGCAGUUGAAGAUUAUGUCUGCAAUAGUUUUGAAGAAGCCAAUCAAUUUUGGAGCCAUCUUGUUCGACCAAAUCUCCAAAUGGAUAGAAAAGGCUAAGUUAAAGAAAUCUACAGACAAACCACUUACAAAAGUUUUUUAUGGAAGACUGCUAAGCAUAAUGAUGAAAAAGAAGCUAGGAAGCAAAAUCAAGGAUAAUGAGGGAGAGCCCUUAAAUGUUCACAAAGUAAUGUCUCCACAACUGUUCGUGAUCUGGAAGAAGAAUCCCAAGGAAAACAGGAGGCUGACUACUGGGAGCAGCAACAAGGCCUCUGCAAAGAAGAGGAAGGCAAGAGAGUUAGAAAGUUCUAAGUCUGGUGACUCUGAAUCAGCAGAAAUCACACAAGCUAGAAAGAAAUCUAGAGGUGUGAAGAAAACCAAGUCCCCACCAAGAAGUCUCUCCACCAAAGACAAGGAUGAAGAAGAAAAAGUCUUGACUGCUGAAACCACAAAGCGAAGAAGCAACAGGCUACUUCAAGAGCCAUUCAAAAAGAAAGCUAAAGUGGUAAACAGACAAGUUCCAGUUCCCCAAGGAAGCACAUCUGACAAAGAAGAGGACGUAGAGUCAAAGGAAGAGAAGGGAACUGAUAAUCUCAAGACUGAGUCCCCUGAAACUGGAUCCAUAAAAGAAGAUGUAAACUCAGCUGAUAAAAAAGAAUAUGUAGGCCCUAUGGCCAACUCUCAGAGUACUCACUUUGAAGUUGAAGAAAAGCUGCAAGAUGACCCAUCUGAAUGUUCAGAUGCAAAUGCUCCAACAAGCUCUCAUGAUGGAUCAAAUAAUGAUGAGGUUGAAAAAGAAAUAUCUUCCCCUGCUAAUGAUGAACCUCAAUAAAGUUUGUAUGCUGACUCAAAGAUCUCAGAGUCUGAAGAAGAAGAAGUAUCUGAAACUCCUAUUGCUGAACUUCCAACAAGAAGAAAGAGCUACAGACUACUUGCUCAAAUUACCUCCAAAAGGAAAAAUGAUCACUCCAAUGCUGUCGUUGAAUUGAGUGAUGAUGAGUCGGUAUCACAGGAAGUAAGUGCUAAGGAUGGAUCCAGUGAUGAAGAAGAUGAAUCAAAGGAAGAUCUUACUGAAGAAGAUUCUGGAAAUGAAAUGCAGCAAGAAGAAUUCAUGGAUGAAUCUGAUGAAAGGAGUAAGCAAAAUUCAAGCUCAAAAAGGGAAGAAAUGGAGAAAGAUUUCAAUUCUGCACAUCAGGAAUCUGACGAACUAGAAUACUAUCCUGUUCUCUCCCCAACCAGAAUAAGCAGAAGAAUUGUAGUGGAAGUCUUUGAUGAGCCACCAGCAGAACCACCAGCAAGAUAGAUAAAUCAAGGAAAUGAACAACUUCGAGUUGUAAGAAUGACCACAGAUGAAGUACUUCACAACUGGAAAAACAUGGAAUUAGAUUGCACAACAAUACUGUAUAACUCUGAAGACCUUCUGAUAAGAUGGUUCUUUCCAUGGAUGCUAUGGUUGAAGGCACAUACUGAGAGAGAUGAGAGUUACUUCAGUUGGUGCUACUCUUAUUUUCCAAGCAUGGAACUGGUGUCACAAAACUUCCCAAGAGUGAAGAGUUUCGCUACAAUGAUGAUCACAAACCAGCCUCACUACAAGGUAUACAGACAUGCUGGAAAUCACUAUAUCCCCUACGAUCGUAGAGUGGACUCAGAAGGAAGAAGGUUUGUGACCAAGGAAAUAAUCGAAGAGUCAGUUCACUCUACUACUGAUGGUUUCCAAGUACAAGAUACGAAGCUUCUAUAUGAUCAAGCACUACUGAUAGACAUUCCUACAUCCUCAACCAGUGAUUGGAACUCAACGAUUCUUCAGAUUUUCAACACCUUCGGAUAUCUGUCUAAGGAAGCAGAUCGUAGAGUCCAAUCUGAUACUCAACCAAGGGCUGCACAAUUAAAUGAUCAAAUAUCUGUGGAGAAGGAGCUGAUGAAGAAUUCUGAUGAACUGAUUGAGAGAAUAUCUUUAUUCACUGAAGAACCAAAGAAGCUGACAACAACAGAAGGUAACUUAGCUCAAGAGAGACUCCAAGCAAUGAUGGUUGAUGUAUCCCUCAAAGUCAGAGAAAGAGAUCACAUCUAUCUCAAAGCUUUACAUGAUCAAAAGGCUGAAGCUCUACUAGCACAAAAGGCAAAUGAAGAGCAACUCAAAGUCCUCUCCGACAAGAUUGACAACAUGAAUCAGUCCUUCUCCAUGCAACUUGAGUUAAGCCAACAAGAACUUAAGAUUGAAGUUGGUAACUCCUCCUACAUGAUGGAGCAACUUAUGUCCAACAUUGAGCAGCUCUCUCAAAUGAUUAAUGACAAAAAGGGGGAGAAAAAGAGGCAUAGAAAGGGGAAGAAAAAGAGGCACUCUAGAAAGAGCAAGGAGAACAGGAGCAAUCAAGUCAAGAAGACAAAGAAGGAAAAAGCAGAAGAAAGAGAUGGUUCAUCAGGUGAGGGGGAGCAAGGAGCCUGAACCAGGAAAAGAAGAAAGGAAUAGCUCCACAUGACAGGGGGAGCAAGGGAGCAGGAGCAAAGGAAUCAAAUAGAUGAAUAUCUGAUCAAUAGACAUCCUGGAAGCAUACAUGGAACCAAAGAGGUACAUCUCUAACUAGUUAGGUAUGUUCUGGAUCUAGGAUGUAAAAUGUCAGUAUAUUAAAUUCCACAUCAUUAUAAAUGACAUUCAUGAUUAUCUGUUUUAGAAAUACAGCUGCUCACAGUAUAUAGGAUUCAUUAAUAACAUGCAUAUACACUUAUUGUUUUUGUGAUAAUCAAAUAGGGGGAGAUUGUCAGGAAUAAACAUGUGAACGAUAAUCCUAUUUAUAUAUGAUUUGAUUAUGAUAUAUAUAUAUAUAUAUAUAUAUAUAUAUAUAUAUAUAUAUAUAUAUGAAUGAAUAUGCAAGUAUGCUUGCAUUAAGAAAAGUUGUAAAGUCCUUUGAUAGAUAAUAGAAACAUAUGUACAAGGACUUAGAAUGAAUUGAUCAAAUGUGUUAGGUUGAUCCUACAUAAGCAAAACAGCUUUGUAAAGUCCUUAAAAAGAAAUGAUGUACAAGGACUAUAAAUAUAGAAAGAUCAAGCAUGUUAGGUUGAUCUUAUGAUGUAAUAGAUAGGCUUGUCUGAUCGUCGAGCACUGCACCAGAAAUCGUAGUCUGCCAGGAGAGUCAAGGAAAACUCGAGAGCUAUCGAGGCAGAAUCGUAGUCUGCAAGAUAGUAGAUCUCGGAGUUCGUAGACUUCCAGGAGAGACGAGGAAGGAUCGUAGUGUGUCGAGGAGAACUUCCUCAGGGCCGUAGUCUGCUGAGGAAGUCAUGUUCAGAAUCGUAGAGACAGCCUGCCUACGAGCCGACCGAGCAUCUGCCAAAGCCAAGUCAAGAAUCGUAGACUACACUCAGAGUCGUAGAGUCUACUGAUCAUAUCAGAGGCAGAGAUCGUAGUCGAGCAAGAUCAGAUGAAGACAACAAGCACAACGACAGAAAUCGUAGAGUGUCAAGAUCUGAUCUCGGAGUCGUAGUGUCUGCACAGCCAAAGCUGAAUCGUAGAGUGCAGAACUAAGACCUCAACAGAUGUGCUCACAAUGCCAAGGCAGAAUCGUAGAGCAAAUACGAUUCUCAACGAAUGAGCACUCCCAGAAUAUCCAAAGGAAUGAAGCCUCUGGUUGGCACUGCAUAGAUACGUCCCACCUGAAGGAAACCAGAGAGCACUCAACGAAUGGCAUGCAAGCUAACAGAAGAUCUAAGCACCAACCCAAUCAGCAUCAAGAUUGAGUUGUGAAGCCAUUCGAGAUGAAGUCUUCCACAAGGAGAUCAGAAGAAGACUUCUGUAACUGACUAAGGAAAGUCAGCAAGUGCAGUAGCUGUCAAGCAGACAGAAGACAACGAUCUUGGAAGUUACCAGGAUCGUAGUGUUUGCCAAACAAAGAAAGAACUGAUGGAGUGCAUACAGAGAUACUGGACAGCUUCUGAAGAACAAGGCUAAAGUGAUUAAGCAUUGGGUCAGUCCAUUGAUGAUAAGUGAACGGGAGAUCACAAGGAGAAAGCGAGCUGGACACGCCACAAAUCUGAAGUGUCUUGUUAUUCAGAAGGGGCCAGAGCAAGAAGUCAAGCCAUCAGUAUCUGAGAGCUGCUGAGGCAAACAGAAGUGUUGAAGCACUGCACAAGAGAAGGAAGAGGUGUUCUACAUUGAAGAUCAAAUCAACACUCUUCAAGAUCGUAGUGUUGUCUCUACCAGUCAACAAGACACUACGAUCAGGUCCAUGAAGACAUGCAUCAGAAUCGUAGAGUUUGAAUAGCUGAAGACUGAAGCAUUGGCAACGGUUCAAUCUGAAGGAUAAUAUUCGGACAAGAGCUUAUUGAGAGCAUCGAUGCAAGGACAACCUCUGAUCGAGAAAUCAGAAAGGUAAAAUAAAGUCGUCGACCUGCCCAAGAUAUCAAAGUGACAUAUCUGAUAGGGUUGGUGAAACAACAGACUGCAGUGUCAGAAAGUCAGAAAAAGAUGUCAUGUCACAUCUGCAGUCUGCACCAAAUAACUCGAGAUCUGCGAGGAAAUUUGAAUAGCUUUCAACGGCUACUUUCCAACGGGAAGAUUGGGAAGUAGUAUAAAUCAACAGAGCUUCAAAGAUCAAGGCUCGCUGAUGAUUGUAAAGUUGCAGAAUCGUUGAGUUGGUGAAUACUAUUGUUGACUCGUAGACUACACUCAGAGUUGUAGAGUCUACUAAUCAUACCAAAGGCAAAGAUCGUAGUCGAGCAAGAUCAGAUGAAGACAACAAGCACAACGACAGAAAUCGUAGUGUCAAGAUCUGAUCUCAGAGUCAUACUGUCUGCACAUCCAAAGCUGAAUCGUAAAGUGUAGAACUAAGACCUCAACAGAUGUGCUCACAAUGCCAAGGCAGAAUCGUAGAGCAAAUACGAUUCUCAACUAAUGUGCACUCCCAAAAUAUCCAAAGGAAUGAAGCCUUUGGUUGGCACUGCAUAGAUACGUCCCAUGUAAGACCCCAGCUUAUUAUAAAUGAAAUUAAAUUUCCUCUAUUUAUUAUUUUGCAAUAGUAAGGGUUGAUUUGAUAGCUUAUUAUAAAUGAAAUUAAAUUUCUUCUAUUUAUUAUUUUGAAAUAGUAAGGGUUGAUUUGAUUAAUGUGGUUAGUUAUGGGUAAAAUGCGCAAAUAUUUUAAAUAAGCAAGUGGUUAUAAAUAUUCAUUGUUGUUAGGGAAUAUUCGUUUGGUCGUGGAAUAUUCUUGCUGUCGGGAAAUAUUCGUACGACGGCGCAGCCUUGUGUGGGCCCCAUAACGGAAAACGAUUGGAUGAAGAAAACGACAAGUAUAAGUUGUUUAUAAAUAACGGCUUAGUUGUUACCGUUAAUACUGUUGGAAUACCCGGUGGUUAAAACAGAGUAGUACACGGUAUUGCACCAAUUAUUGAUUCUUACGUAAGAAGGUACUACUCAAUAAUUGUUACAGUAGUUACUGUUCAAUAUUUUAUUUUAUUGAUUCAAUAAUUGCUACGUUGAUAUUUUAUAUUAUUGCUGUUUCAAUAAUUGUCACUACACAGUAUUUUCAUUAUCAGAUCAAUAAUUCAUAUUAUUUGAGUAAUAUUAUUAGAUAACAUUAUUGGCAAUGUCUAGAAAGUUAUGUCUAAGGAGAGGUUUGGUCACCUAAUUGUGCGCCAGUAAGGAGAAAUCCUUAUUGGAAAGCCCUCUCUUUCUUGGGAAUUGCAUGGUUGUCAGUAUUAUGAUUCUGUAAUAUUAUUUGUGAAUAGUUAAUUAUUAAUUUAUAUGAUAAGGAAAAUAUUCAUUUUAUGUGGAUAUAGAUAGAGAAAAUUUUUAAGUGACAAUUGUUGAAAAAUUGAUAUUUUAUCUUUUCUGAUAAAAUAAUUCAUUUAAAUAUAUUAUUAUAUUUUAAUAAUAUAAUAAUGGUGAUUUUUAUACAAUGAAUGUGGGAUAUAUGAAUAUAUGAGGAGGAAGAGUAUUUUUGUUGCAAAAGUUGUUUAAAACAUGUUAAACAUGUCCGUGGGCCUAUUUCUUGACUGAAAUUUGAUUAUAGCCUGUAAUAUCGCACGUUUGUGGAUUUCGGUCAAUUUCUGUUUGAAAUUUGGAAAAACUUAAACUUACAAAGUUGUAGAGAAUGGAAUUUCCUAUAGAAAAGACACAAGGUUCAAAUUUUUAUGAUAAAAGAGCUAUUUAUUAUGAAUUAUUGAAGUUCCGAAGUCCCGGAAUAAUUGAUUUUUAGAAGUUUUAAUUAUUUUUAUUAAUAAAAACGUUUUUUUACAUUUUGUGGGCCUCAUUAAACAUGUGCAAUGAGCUGAAAUUCGAUUUCAAAGGUGUGCGUGACAAUUUUAUAAAUAUAAUAAUAUUUUAUUAAAUUUUCUGCUUUGGUGUUCUAAGUAUUUUCCUAUAAAUAGGGUGCUUAGGUUAGAAUUGAAAAUCACACCAGAAACUGAAGUUUUCUCUCUCUCUUUCUCUCUCUAUAUUAUCGAGCGUAUUCUUGUAAGUAUUUUGAUACUUUGAGUGUUGCUAUACGGUGCAAGUUCCUUCAGCGUCAUAUCUGAUAUUCCAGCCAGAAGUACUAUUCUUUUCGAGGUAAGGGAUGUUAUUUUCUUUCGAAAUGAUAUUAAUUUCUUCAAUAUCAUUAUGCCAAAAUAUUGGUUUGAACUUUUUAAUCAAAUUUAGAACUUUUUAUGUCGGGGUUACUAUUCACGUAUACAGCACUAUUCACGGAUACGACACUAUUCAUCAAAAAAUGAAAAUUUUCUUUUUGUCCAAAAUAUCUAUUAUGGAUACUAGCUUUGAUUGUAUCCAUGUUUUGAUCAUUCUUGAAUUUUACUUUACUACGGUUAUUUAUGAAGUAUUUUUGAACUUGGAUUGUUUGAAAUACGAAUCCUUAAUAUUUGUUCUUUUGCUUCACUGGAUUCGUUUUCUUUAAAAUAUUUUUCAUCAUCCUCAGUCCUAAAUGAUGAUAUUACUGAAUAUCUUUGGCCUGUAGUGCAAAGAUUAAUGAUUUUCUGAUGAAUAUCUUUGGCCCGUAGUGCAAAGAUGAACAGGUGUUGAGAUGAACAUGACCAACUGAUGAAUAUCUUUGGCCUGUAGUGCAAAGAUGAAUAUUUGAUUCAAGAUGAAUAUUGAUUGAUGUUACAGGGAUAAAAUAUUGAUGAUGGACUUUUAAAUUCAUAGAUUAUAGUAGAUUUCAUUCUCUAUGUAACUCAUCUAUGAAUUAUUAUUUUCGAUGCGAAUAUUGAUCUGAAACAUGUUGUCUAUUGUAUUUUAUCAGAUUUUUCCCUGUUGAAGACUAACGAUAAUUUGUUCUAUAUUAUCUUAGUCAUAAUAUUCUUUACUGGGCUAGUUGAGCUCACCCUUUUCCUUUUUGUUCCAUUUUUCUUCUCAGGAGGCGAGAAUGUAGCGAGUUCUAGUCGGAGUGUGGAAUGAUGGUUUUAGAGAGUUAUUUUAGUAGUCCUCACCAUUUAUGUAAAAUAAUGUACCUAUAAUUGUAAAGAUGACUUAUUUGGGUGUGAAUAUUGUCUAGAUGGCAAUAUUUGUAUUUAAAAUCACAGUUUUUAUGUUGUAUUAAUAAAGUUGUAGUUGUUUCUGUAACAUGUUAUUGACGACUCAAAAUGGGUGAUGUAUACCUAUUUUGGAGGCGUCACAUCCCACCUGAAGGAAACCAGAGAGCACUCAACAAAUGGCAUGCAAGUUAACAGAAGAUCUAAGCACCAACCCAAUCAGCAUCAAGAUUGAGUUGUGAAGCCAUUCGAGAUGAAGUCUUCCACAAGGAGAUCAGAAGAAGACUUCUGUAACUGAUUAAGAAAAGUCAGCAAGUGCAGUAGCUGUCAAGCAGACGGAAGACAACGAUCUUGGAAGUUACCAGGAUCGUAGUGUUUGCCAAACAAAGAAAGAACUGAUGGAGUGCAUACAGAGAUACUGGGCAGCUUCUGAAGAAUAAGACUAAAGUGAUUAAGCAUUGGGUCAGUCCAUUGAUGAUAAGUGAACGGGAGAUCACAAGGAGAAAGCGAGCUGGACACACCACAAAUCUGAAGUGUCUUGUUAUUCAGAAGGGGCCAGAGCAAGAAGUCAAGCCAUUAGUAUCUGAGAGCUGCUGAGGCAAACAGAAGUGUUGAAGCACUGCACAAGAGAAGGAAGAGGUGUUCUAGAUUGAAGAUCAAAUCAACACUCUUCAAGAUCGUAGUGUUGUCUCUACCAGUUAACAAGACACUACGAUCAGGUCCAUGAAGACAUGCAUCAGAAUCGUAGAGUUAGAAUAGCUGAAGACUGAAGCAUUGGCAAUGGUUCAAUUUGAAGGAUAAUAUUCGGACAAGAGCUUAUUGAGAGCAUCGAUGCAAGGACAACCUCUGAUCGAGAAAUUAGAAGGGUAAAAUAAAGUCGUCGACCUGCCCAAGAUAUCAAAGUGAUAUAUCUGAUAGGGUUGGUGAAACAGUAGACUGCAGUGUCAGAAAGUCAGAAAAAGAUGUCAUGUCACAUCUGCAGUCUGCACCAAAUAACUCGAGAUCUGCGAGGAAAUUUGAAUAGCUUUCAACGGCUACUUUCCAACGGGAAGAUUGGGAAGUAGCAUAAAUCAACAGAGCUUCAAAGAUCAAGGCUCCCUGAUGAUUGUAAAGUUGCAGAAUCGUUGAGUUGGUGAAUACUAUUGUUGACUCUACGAGUUCCACCAAAGAUCAAUAGAACAUGUCUCAGUGACAGUGAGACUAUCAAGGUGGAAGUGAAGCAGCUUUGAAGAAGGAAUCAAACAGAUCGAAGCUUCACUCAACAAAGAUGAGAAUGCCACUGAAGAUGGUAGCCAAGAUGAGAGCCGAGAAGGCCAAGAAGAUAACAUUCAGGAAAGUGGCUAAGUACAAAGAAGAUCAAGAUAGCCACUCUACGAAUCACCAUGAACCGAAAGCUAAAAAUGAACAAGUGCAGAACCAUGUCUGCAAAGUAUUCAAGAAGGGUUCAGGAAUUUCUAAGUGCCAGACAAAGUCUACUAAAAGCACAGAGACUUAGCAAACCCAGAUGGUGAUGGUGCAUAGCUGAUACCAGAUGAAGAUGAGCAGAAAAGAGUGAAGAUCAGCUGCACCAAAGAAGAUGUGGUCCAGACCCGAAGCAGAAUGUAAAGAGGACCACACCAAGCUGUUAAGUACAAAAGAUGUUCAGAGCUUAAUGACAUCUUAGCAGCUCAGCACCACCACCACUAACAACAACUACAACAACAAGAAGCCAGGGCCUGAGGGGUCUUUGUCCGGAUGGACUAAAUGAAGUUCCAAGCCUGUUGGGCUUGAAGAGUUCUUAGGGAACUAGAGAAGUCCCAAGGCUGCUGGCCUUGAAGAGUUCUUAGUGAACUGAAGUCCCAAGGUUGCUGGCCUUGAAAGAAUCUUAGUGAUUCAGGGUGCUGCGCUUCCUUAGUUGAAAUCCUGCUAGUUGAAAGAAGAAGAGUGGAUUAGGAGCUUGAGUCUCUGAACCACUUAAAACCCCUCGUGUCUCUUACUUUAUGUCAUUUACUUUAUGUACAUUAACUGCUAUAACUGUUAUGUAUGUCAUAACUGCUUAUCACUGAACUAACUCUACGAACAAUGUAUGUAUGAUUAUGAAUAUAUCAAUGAAGGGGAUCUUUUACUUAUUCCGUUGUGCUUGAAAAGAUUCUUAUGUCUGUCACAUGCUAAAUUAUUAGCAAUACAAAAUAAAUCGGAAAAGUAUUUUGAAAUUCUAAGGAUCUAUUCAACCCCCCCUUCUAGAUCUAUUGUGCCUACUGGGAACUAACAAUCUCUUCUGUGAACCUCAUGGAGAGAAAUAAAUCUUGGCAAGAGUUUUUUCUCAUGCCCGAAAUUCAGAGUAAGUUCUUAUAAUUUUGUUUGAUUUUGUGUUUGGUAAAGGUUUAUACCUGCAACGAUUGAAUAAUUUUUAAUUUUGUGGUUCAAUAAAGGGAUUUAGGUUCUUUGUAUGACAUGACCCACAAAUGUAUGAGAGGGAAAAUAUUGUCAUAAAUGAUUUGAAGAGGAAGAACAAGAUUUUACUAAAUAAGGAACUGAAUAAAUUUUCUCAGGUUGAAGGGGCAUCUAAAUUGAAAGAAUUGGUUCAUGAGUUGAAAAAGUUGAAGUCAAAUGGAGAUGAAGUUUCUGCAAAAUAAAUUAAAUAAGUAGAGUAUUUGAAUAAGAAGUGCAUUGUUGUGUUAUUCUUAGUUAUGUUCAUAUGUUUCUUUGAUGCUACUUAGGUAGAAAAAUGGUUAGAUGAAUUAGUAGUGUUAUGAAUUUUAAUGUACUGCAGUUUAAAAUAUGCAAUUAUCUAAAUGUAAUUGUUGAAAUUAGUUAAUGAAAGUCCUUGUUUGAACAUUUUUGUGUGUAUCUUCUGUGUGUUAAUGGAAAUCCUUGUUUGAGGAGUCCUUGGUUAAUUGAUAGUUUUAUGUGUUUAAGCAAUUUUGUUGAAAUAUGUGUUAAUGGUAGUUUUGUGUGUUUGAGCAGUCCUUGGUUAAUUGGUAGUUUUGUAAGACCCCGAAUUUUAUGAAAUGAAAAUAUUCAAUUUUUUUAAUUUCUCUUUAGUAAAUGGUUAAAUCGAUAAAAUUUUAUAGUUAUGGGUGAUAUGUGAAAAUUUUACAAAGUAAACAAGUUGUCAUAAAAUAUUAGUUGUGUCGGGGAAUAUUCAUUUGGUCGGAGAAUAUUCUUUUUGUCGAAAAAUAUUCGUACGACGUCGCAAUCAUUGGUGGACCCCACAUAACGGAAUAACUGUCGGAUAUAUUAAGCGACAAAAAUAAUCUUUUUAUAAAAAUAACGGCAAGACUGUUAUAGUUAAACUGUUAAAAUACCCGGUGAUAAAAGUACAGUAAUACGCGUUAUUCCACAAUGGUACGCGGUAUUACACAGUAGCAUACGGUAGUGCACAGUAUCUCUGAUUAAUCAUUGAUGCUUACGUAAGAAGUCACUCAGUGUUUGACUUAAUAAUUGUUACAGUAAAAAUUGCACAGUCUUUUAUAUUAUUGAUGCAAUAAUUACUACAAUGAUAAUUGAAUAGUAUUUUAUAUUAUUGACUCAUUAGUUGUCACAGUAAAAACUGAAUAGUAUUUCUCAUUAUUAAAUCAAUAAAUAUCACCCAUAUUAUUGAAAUAAUAUUAUUAGAUAAUAUUGUUGACAAUGUCUAAAAAGUUAUGUCGAGGAAAGGAGUUAAGUUAUAUAAUUGCGCGCCAGUAAGGAGAAAUCCUUAUCGGAAUGCCCCCUCUUUCCUGGGAACGAUCUGUUUGUCAAUAUUGUGAUUCUAUAAUAUUAAUUAGGAAUAAUUAUUGAAAGAUUGAAAAGUUGUAAAUAAUUGAUAAAAUAAUUUUUUUUUGAUAAAUAUGAUAAAUAAGUAUUUGUUCAAUUUUGAUAUAAAUGGAGAAAAUUUUAAAAGUUUGAUGUAAGACCCCAACUUAUUAUAAAUAAAUUAAUUUUUCUCUAUUCAUUAUUCUAAAUUAAUAAGGUCUUAAUUUGAUAUAAUACUUUGGUUAUGGGUGAAAUGUGCAAAUUUUAUAAAAUAAGCAAGUGGUUAUAAAAUAUUCCUUUUGUCCGGGAAUAUUCGUUUGGUCGUGGAAUAUUCUUUUUGUCAGGAAUAUCCGUACGACGGUGCAGUCAAUUGUGGGCCCCAUAACAGAAUAACUUUCGGAUGAAGAAAACGACAAAGUUUGAGUUUUAUAAAUAACGGCGUAACUGUUACCGUUAACACUGUUGGAAUACCUGGUGGUUAAAAUACAGUAAUACGCGUGGUUGCACAGUAGCACACGGUAUUGCACAAUAUUGUUGAAUUAUUGAUUCGUACGUAAGAAGACACUACUCAAUAAUUGUUACAGUAGUUACUGUUCAAUAUUUUAUUUUAUUAAUUCAAUAAUUGCUGCGUUGAUAUUUUAUAUUAUUGUUAUUUCAAUAAUUGUCACUGCACAGUAUUUCCCAUUAUCAGAUCAAUAAUUCAUAUUAUUUGAAUAAUAUUAUUAGAUAGCAUUAUUGGCAAUGUCUAGAAAGUUCUGUCAAGGAGAGGUUUGGUCACCUAAUUGCGCGCCAGUAAGGAGAAAUCCUUAUUGGAAAGCCCCCUCUUUCCUGGGAACGGCCUGGUUGUCAUAAAUGUGAUUCUGUAAUAUUAUUUGUGAAUAAUUAAUUAUUGAUUCAUAUGAUAAGGAAAUAUUUAUUUUAUGUGGAUAUAAAUGUUGGAUAUAUUUAUUGUGGUUAAAAAUGAAGGAGUUAAUGUUGAGGUGUUUUAUCAGUAUUUUUGUCGGAAUGAAGGUAUUAAAAAUUAAACCAGUGUUUUUGAGAUAUAUUGUGUGAGUUAUAAUUUUUAAUCCGACCGUUGGAUCGUUGUAAUUUUUGGAUAUGUUAUACAUAUAUAAGUUGAGUAUAUGUCCACAAAUUUUGAACCGUUAAAAAUGAACGUAUGAUUUGUUAUGAAUUUUAAGAGGUGACUGAUUCGGAAAUUAGGUUUAUAAAUGAUUUUGGUAGAAAAUUCUAGAAUUGAGUGGGCCCCACUUGUGGUUGGUGAAGAAAUGUGCUGAAUUUUAUUUCAAAUGUGGUGGGUGGCAAUAGUAACAGGUAAAGCCAUCAGGUAGCAGGUCAAGUCUGCUUCGGCGUGCUAACAUUUUUCUAUAAAUAGAGGGCUAAGUUAGAAUUGAAAAUCACACCAGAAACAUAAGCUUUCUCUCUUUCUCUCUCUAUAUUAUUGAGCGUAUUUUGUGAGUAUGCGGGUACAAGUGCGAUAUUGACAACGCAAAAGCCCAUUUUGUGUGACUUGCAAAGGAUGGAGAUAGAGUUAAAGACUCCAGGGACCCAUGUGAUGAUGGCGAAUAUACGAGUAGAACCGACUUUAAUUGAUAUAGUUAAAGCUGCUCAAGUUACAGAUCUGGAUCUGAUGCGUAUGAGGAAGAAAGUGCAAGAAGGUGCUAUGCCGGAGGCAAGAAUCGAUGAAGAAGGAAUACUUCGAGUCAACUCCAGACUUUGUGUCCUAACGACCCUGAUUUAAAGUAUAAAAUCAUGAUGGAGGCGCACAACACACCGUUUGCAAUCCAUCCUAGGAGUACUAAAAUGUAUCAUGAUCUUCGACAUACAUUUUGGUGUUUCAAUAUGAAGAGAGAGAUAGCGUUGUUUAUCUUAAGAUGUCUAACGUGUCAACGAGUCAAGGCGGAGCAUUAAGUAGCAAAAGGUCUAUUGCAACCACUUGAAAUUCCAUAAUGGAAGUGGGAGCACAUUACCAUGGAUUUCAUUACUGGUCUUCCUCAGGUUUCUCAAGGCAUAGAUGCAAUUUGGGUCAUUGUUGAUAGAUUGACCAAGUCUGCUCAUUUCUUACCAAUACGGGAAACUUAUACACUUGAACGUCUUGCUUGUACGUACAUAAACGAGAUUGUAAGACUGCAUGGUAUGCCAGUAUCCAUAGUUUCUGAUCAAGACCCAAGAUUCACUUUAAGAUUUUGGGUUAGUUUGCAAAAAGCAAUGGGCACAGACUUACAAUUUAGUUUGGCAUAUCAUCCUCAAACGGACGGACAAUCAGAGAGGACUAUUCAAACUCUUGAAGAUUUAUUAAGACUUUAUGUCCUUGACUUCAAGGGAAGUUGGGACAAGUUUUUACCACUGGUGGAGUUUUCCUACAACAACAGUUAUCAAGCAAGUAUUGGCAUGGCUCCAUUUGAGGCGUUGUAUGGAAGAAAGUGUCAAUCUCCAGUAUGCUAGGAUGAGGUGGGUGAAGCAACGUUGUUGGGACCGGAGUUGGUACGUAUGACUACGAAAAAGAUUCAAACGAUCCGACAACGUAUAAAAACCUCACAAGACCGACAAAAGAGUUAUGCUGAUCUUCACCGAAAGGACGUGGAAUUCGAUAUAGGAGAUCAUGUGUUGUUCGUAUUGCUCCAUGGAAAGGAGUUACAAGAUUCGGAAAGAGAGGAAAGCUCAAUCCUUGUUUCAUUGGCCCAUUUUUAAUCCUCGAUCGAGUAGGAACUGUGACCUAUAGACUCGCUUUACCGCCAAGUAUGUCUCGUGUUCAUAACGUUUUUCACAUAUCUAUGUUACGUAAAUAUGUGGAAGACCCGAACCACAUUAUUGAGUUAGAACCGGACGAAAUAGUGGAAGAUUUGACGUAUGAAGAGGUUCUUGUUCAAAUCUUGGAUAAGAAGGAACAUAUUCUACGUUCCAAGGUUAUAUCUCAAGUUAAAGUUUUGUAGAGAAACCACGAUGUUGAGGAAAUGACCUAGGAGUUAGAAUCUGAAAUGAAAUCAAGGUAUCCUUACCUCUUCGACAUACCAGGUACGUACCCUAAUUUCGAGGGCGAAAUUUCUUAAGAAGGGGAGGUUGUAAGACCCCAGUUUUUAUGAAUAAAAAUGAAUUUUCUAUAAAUAUCAUUUUUGAAUAUUAUGGAAUAAAUUUGAUAUAAUGUUAUAGUUGUGGGUAAUAUUUAUAAAUUUUUCAAAGUACGCAAGUUGCUAUAUAAUAUUCGAUUGGUCGGGGAAUAUUCGUUUUAACAGGGAAUAUUCGUACGAUGGCACAAUUAUUGGUGGACCCCACAACAGAAUUAUUGUCGGAUUGAGAAAAUGACAAAAAUAUUUUAUUGAUAAUAACGACGGAAGUUUUACCGUUAAUACUGUUGAACUACUCGGUAGUAAAAGUACAGUAAUACGCGUGGUUGCAUAGUAGCACACAGUAUUGAUUAUUGAUGCUUACAUAUUUUAUAUAUUAUUAAAGUAAUAAUUGAGAUGACAGAGUUAUUAAUAUUAUUAUUUGAUAAUUAACGAUGUCUAGAAGUUCUGCCAAGGAGAGGUUUGGUCACCUAAUUGCGCGCUAAUAGGGAGAAAUCCUUAUUGGAAAGCCCCCUCUUUCCUGGGAACGACCUGGUCAAUUAAUAUUAUGAAUUAUAAUAAAGGUGAUAAAUGUUGUUAAAAUUAUUAAGGUGAUUUUUAUGAAGUAUUUGUGUAAAUUUUGAUUAUUAUAUGGACCACCAUUUACCCAUUUUUCAAAAUAAUCAGUAGAAAAUUAUUUUAUAAAAGGUGUGGCCACUAGUAAAGUUGAUGUCUUGUGUGGGGGAGGGGGGAUUUUGCAUUGUCGGGAGGAAAAUUGUGUAAUGGGUGGAUGAAUUACAUAGUUGAUGAGUGGCUGAUUAUUAUAUAUAUGUUUAAUAUGUGGGUGGGAAAUGGUGGGGCUUUGCAAAAGGUAACUAGUAUUAUAUGUAUAUAUAUAUGUUUAUAACAUGUGUGGGUUAUAUAUAUAUAUGUAUGUAUUAUAAUUUUGUUUUAUUUUUAUUGGUUGGUUGAUUGACAAAUUGUGUGUGUGGGUUAUAUAUAUAUAUGUAUUAUAAUGUUGCUUUAUUCUUAUUGGUUGGUUGAUUGACAAAUUGUGUGUGUGUGGGUUACAAAAUUUUUUUUCAUCCGAUUGCAUAACUGUUGCAUUACACAGUGCCUUUCCAUUCUCCUAUAAAUAGAAGCUCAUUCCUUCAUUAUUUCUUACGAAUUCACUGAAACUCCAGAGAGAGAAAUUAUAGAGAAACUAUAGAAAAGUAUUCUGCUACUUCCCUACUCUUAUAUCCAGUUUCUUUUACGGUAAGGGGUGUUAUUUCUUUUGUAUUCAUGAAGAGAACUUCUGUUAUUCCAUUCUUUAUUAUUCUGUUGGAAUAACCUGUAUACGCGGGCUACCCUAUACUUGGUGAAAUUCUUUUGUUAUUCCAUUCUUUAUUAUUCUGUUGGAAUAUCCUGUCUCUGCGUUUUACGCCGGACCUGAUUCCGUCUUUAUUAUUCUGUUGGAAUAUCCUGUCUGUGCGUUUUAUGCCGAACCUGAUUCCGUCUUUAUUAUUCUGUUGGAAUAUCCUAUCUUUGCGUUUUACGCCGGACCUGGUUCUGUCUUUAUUAUUCUGUUGGAACAUCCUGUCGGUGCGAAUUUCGCCUGACCUGGUUCCAUUAUUUAUUAUUUUGUUGGAAUAACCUGUUUAUGUGAAGUACCGCAUGCAUGGUGAUUUCUUUUGUUAUUCCAUUCUUUAUUAUACUCAGUUGGUUAAAGUUUUGACUUCUAUACUCCAUGAAAUUAGUGGAAUAUCCUUGAUAUUUGCGCUUCAUCCAGUAUCUUUUCAUGGAAAUAUUCUUCUGAGCAUUCUUGAAUUUUACUCUACAAAGCAGUAUCAUGUUGACAAUUUGGACGUUAUUAGUUCCUGGAUAAAUUAAUUCUUGAACUUGUUUUAUUGAAUUCUUAUAUCAUUGUCAUCAUCCUCAUGUUUAUAUUUUGUUGAAAGUCAUCUGUGGCCUGUAGUGCAUAGAUGGACUUGGUAUGAUUAUGACCAGGGAUUAUUCGGUGUAAUCAUGACCGUAAUGUUACAAAUGAUGUGGUAAAAGUCCUCAUUGGCCCGUAGUGCAUUGAUGGACAGUUGUUGGCAUGAUCAUGACCAUUAAUGAAUACACAAAUAUUCUUGGCCCGUAGUGCAUGGAUAAUUGUGGUCGUGAUACUAAAGAAUAUCCUUGGCCGUAGUGCAGGGGUGAUUCGAUGAUGUGGAUUAUUUAUUAAGCUGAGUCCCAGCGAUAAAAGUGAUGAAAAACCUUUUAAAUCAUAAAAGAUAGUAGAUUUUAUUCUCUACUUGACUCUUUUAAUGGAUUGCUUGUUCCGCUGCAGUUAAACUUGAUGUUUGUUAUAUUGUAUCAGUUUAACACUGUUUAAGGCUAAUGAUAAUUUAUUCUGCAUUAUCUUAGUCAUAAUAUUUCUUACUGGGCUAGUUGAGCUCACCCUUUCUUUCACUGUUCUCUUCAGGAAAUGAGAAUAUAGCUGGGACGAGUCGGGGAACGGAGUGAUGGUCCAGAGGAUAGCAUUAGUAGUCCUCACUAUUCUGUGAAAUAGUGUGAUAAUAAUUGUAAUGAGGACUCCUUUUGAGUUUGUAUAAUCUCUAGUAGACAAUAUUUGUAUUCAAACUCACAGUUUAUGUUUUGUCGUAUUGUACACGACAGUUGUAUUAGUAAGUUGUAUUUGAAUUCUGUACCAUGUAUCUGGCGACCCAAGAUGGGUGAUGUAUACCUAAUUUUGGGGGCGUCACAGUUGGUAUCAAAGCUUAGGGAUAUGAUCCCUGGCUAAGAUGUGAGACUAGAACUAGGAGGGGAGAGACGGGGAAUUCCUUCGCUAGUAUGACCUACCUAAGUUUAUUUGGUAUUUAAUUGGUCGGUCAGAGUAUAGGGAUAAUAUGUGAUAUGUUAAUUAACCCUUGUUUUGUGGCAGUAUUUGAAAAUGGCAUCCGAGAAUGUUGAGAACAUCAAUGGAGCACAGGAGACCGUUGAGUCUCCACAGAUCAAUAAUCAGGAUAAUGUGCAUCAGGAAGGCGACAAUCCUCAUGCAAACAACAACACUGACCAAAUGAUGAACGAUGGAAUGUUCAGAGGCUUUAUGCAAUUCAUGCAACAUCAGGCGAGAGCGGCUCCUGUCCAAAAUGCAGGUGGAAACACUGGCAACUCUCGGACGGUCACCGCUAAACAGUUCAAGGAGCUGGGACCACCGGAGUUUAUUGGAGAGCCAAAACCACUUAAGGCGGAAGCAUGGAUAAAGCAGAUCACCAAGAUAUUUGAUGUCUUGGGAUGCUCCGAGGAGCAAAAGGUUCCCUUUGCCACCUUUAUGUUGCGAGGAGAGGCAGAUUACUGGUGGGAAUCGGUAAAGCGUACUCAACCUGCCGCACUGAAGAUGUCUUGGGAGAAGUUCCAAGAACUAUUCAACGACAAGUACUUUCCCGAAAGUAUUCGUCACAUGAAAGAGGUAGAGUUCAUCAAGCUGGAGCAAAACAACAUGACCGUGUCGCAGUACGAAGCCAAGUUUGCCGAGUUGUCCCGGUUUGCGUCCCAUUUGGUUGAUAAUGAGGAGAGAAUGACGCGAAUGUUUCUAAGAGGUUUGAAACCCGAGAUACGUCAAUAUCUUAUCUCUCAUAAACUGUGUUUGUAUUCAGAUGUUGUUAAUAGGGCUCAGUUAUUGGAGCGCGAUAAUGAGUCAACCCAACCAAAAGAGAGCAGCCGGCAAAAUGAUAAUACCAGUGAUAACAGUCAUCGAAGCGGUGACAAUAAGCGUGGAGGGAAUCAACAUGCCAGAAAUGGUAACCACUUCGGUGGUAAUCAUGGCCAAAACAAUAAGAAUGGACAUUUCAAGAAGAGGAGAUUCAACAAUGAUGGAAAGACGUCAGCACCAGCACCCGUUGUUAAGGAAGGAGAACGACCACCUAUCAUAUGCUUCAAAUGCGGAGGGGAGGGACACAUCAGUCCAAACUGCGCGAUGCCGUCCAAAGCAUGUUAUAAUUGUGGAAGAGAAGGUCACCUAGCCCGAUUUUGUCGUUCACCGAAGACAAGUUCAGCUAGGAUGGAGGCACCAAAGGCCGUCCCAGAAAAGUCAAAGCCGGUAGUGCAAGGGAGAGCGUUUGUUGUGACCUCCCAGAAAGCAAGGAACCCGAAUGAGGUCAUCACGGGUAAGCUUAUCAUAAACUCUAGCGAAGUCUAUACCUUAUUUGAUACCGGUUCUACCCAUUCUUUUAUUUCUCCUACUUGCGCUCAACGUUUAAAUUUGACUCCGGAGAAAUUAGACUUUGACUUAUCUGUUGAAACUCCGUUGGGAGAAACCUUCAUUACAUCCACUGUUUAUAAGUCUUGUUUGGUUCAAAUCGGUACCCUCACAUUACCUGUCGAUCUUAUUUCAUUGAAAAUACUUGCAUUUGACGUAAUUCUAGGGAUUGAUUGGUUAACUACUCAUCAUGCAAAAAUUGAUUAUUUUCGUAAGGUUGUUAGCUUUCAUAUUCCUAACCAACCUAUUAUGCGAAUUCAAGCAACCAAACCAUUAAAAUCAAUCACUGUCAUCUCAAGCCAUAAAGCUAUUCGUUUAUUGAAAAACGGAUGUCAAGCUUUCUUAGCUCAUGUCACGGAUCUAAACAAAAAUACGUCAGUUUUGAAUGAUAUUUCUAUUGUUAAUGAAUUUCCUGACGUAUUCCCUGAAGAACUUCCUGGCCUACCUCCAGAGCGUGAAAUUGAAUUUUGUAUCGACCUUGAACCCGGUUCAAAACCCAUUUCCAAAUCCCCAUAUCGAAUGGCUCCUAUUGAACUUCAGGAGUUAAAAACCCAACUGCAGGAAUUGCUAGACAAUGGAUUUAUUUGUCCUAGUACUUCUCCUUGGGGUGCUCCUAUUCUAUUCGUGAAGAAGAAAGAUGAGAGUAUGCAACUUUGUAUUGAUUAUCGGGAGUUGAAUCAUGUCACCAUCAAAAAUAGGUACCCAUUGCCACGAAUUGAUGACCUGUUUGACCAGUUACAAAGCGCUAAAUUCAUUUCAAAGAUUGAUCUUCAUUCCGGAUAUCACCAAUUGAAGAUUAGAACCGAUGACAUUCCAAAGACGGCUUUCAGAACUCGGUACGGGCAUUAUGAAUUCCUAGUNNNNNNNNNNNNNNNNNNNNNNNNNNNNNNNNNNNNNNNNNNNNNNNNNNNNNNNNNNNNNNNNNNNNNNNNNNNNNNNNNNNNNNNNNNNNNNNNNNNNNNNNNNNNNNNNNNNNNNNNNNNNNNNNNNNNNNNNNNNNNNNNNNNNNNNNNNNNNNNNNNNNNNNNNNNNNNNNNNNNNNNNNNNNNNNNNNNNNNNNNNNNNNNNNNNNNNNNNNNNNNNNNNNNNNNNNNNNNNNNNNNNNNNNNNNNNNNNNNNNNNNNNNNNNNNNNNNNNNNNNNNNNNNNNNNNNNNNNNNNNNNNNNNNNNNNNNNNNNNNNNNNNNNNNNNNNNNNNNNNNNNNNNNNNNNNNNNNNNNNNNNNNNNNNNNNNNNNNNNNNNNNNNNNNNNNNNNNNNNNNNNNNNNNNNNNNNNNNNNNNNNNNNNNNNNNNNNNNNNNNNNNNNNNNNNNNNNNNNNNNNNNNNNNNNNNNNNNNNNNNNNNNNNNNNNNNNNNNNNNNNNNNNNNNNNNNNNNNNNNNNNNNNNNNNNNNNNNNNNNNNNNNNNNNNNNNNNNNNNNNNNNNNNNNNNNNNNNNNNNNNNNNNNNNNNNNNNNNNNNNNNNNNNNNNNNNNNNNNNNNNNNNNNNNNNNNNNNNNNNNNNNNNNNNNNNNNNNNNNNNNNNNNNNNNNNNNNNNNNNNNNNNNNNNNNNNNNNNNNNNNNNNNNNNNNNNNNNNNNNNNNNNNNNNNNNNNNNNNNNNNNNNNNNNNNNNNNNNNNNNNNNNNNNNNNNNNNNNNNNNNNNNNNNNNNNNNNNNNNNNNNNNNNNNNNNNNNNNNNNNNNNNNNNNNNNNNNNNNNNNNNNNNNNNNNNNNNNNNNNNNNNNNNNNNNNNNNNNNNNNNNNNNNNNNNNNNNNNNNNNNNNNNNNNNNNNNNNNNNNNNNNNNNNNNNNNNNNNNNNNNNNNNNNNNNNNNNNNNNNNNNNNNNNNNNNNNNNNNNNNNNNNNNNNNNNNNNNNNNNNNNNNNNNNNNNNNNNNNNNNNNNNNNNNNNNNNNNNNNNNNNNNNNNNNNNNNNNNNNNNNNNNNNNNNNNNNNNNNNNNNNNNNNNNNNNNNNNNNNNNNNNNNNNNNNNNNNNNNNNNNNNNNNNNNNNNNNNNNNNNNNNNNNNNNNNNNNNNNNNNNNNNNNNNNNNNNNNNNNNNNNNNNNNNNNNNNNNNNNNNNNNNNNNNNNNNNNNNNNNNNNNNNNNNNNNNNNNNNNNNNNNNNNNNNNNNNNNNNNNNNNNNNNNNNNNNNNNNNNNNNNNNNNNNNNNNNNNNNNNNNNNNNNNNNNNNNNNNNNNNNNNNNNNNNNNNNNNNNNNNNNNNNNNNNNNNNNNNNNNNNNNNNNNNNNNNNNNNNNNNNNNNNNNNNNNNNNNNNNNNNNNNNNNNNNNNNNNNNNNNNNNNNNNNNNNNNNNNNNNNNNNNNNNNNNNNNUUGAAGACUAAUGAUAAUUUGUUGUAUAUUAUCUUAGUCAUAAUAUUCUUUACUGGGCUAGUUGAGCUCACCCUUUUCCUUUUUGUUCCAUUUUUCUUCUCAGGAGGUGAGAACAUAGCAGGAUCUAGUCGGGGUAUGGAGUGAUGGUUCUAAAAAGAUGUUUUAGCAGUCCUCACUAUUUCUGUAAAAUAAUGUAUGAAUAAUUGUAAUGAGGACUUAUUUGAGUGUGGAUAUUGUCUAGAAGACAAUAUUUGUAAUUAAACUCACAGUAUGUGUUGUUGUAUUUUGCACGACAAUUGUAUUAUUGAAGUUUUAGUUUGCUUUCUGUACCAUGUAUUUGGCGACUCAGGAUGGGUGUUGUAUACCUAUUUUGGGGGCUUCAUAGUUGGUAUCAAAGCUUAGGGAUAUGAUCCCUGGCUGAGAUGUGAGAAUAGAACUAAGAGGGGAGAGAUGAGUAAAUCCUUCGUUAGUGUGUCGUACAUAAGCUUAUCUGUUGGUCGGUCAUAAUAUAGGGAUAUUAUGUGAUAUGUUAAUUUGUUUAAUUAACCCUUGUUUUAUGGCAGCAUUUAAGAAUGGCAGCUGUGAACGUUAACAAUGGAGUGUAUGAGACUGUGGAAACACCUUUAGUCACCAAUCAGGAGAACGUGCAACAGGAUGGCAAUAUUCCUCCUAUAAAUAACACUAACGAGCAAACGAUGAAUAAUAAGAUGUUUAGAAACUUUUUUGUAUUUCAUGCAAAAUCAGACGAGGGAGACUCGUGUACAAAAUACGGGUCGAAAUGAUAGCAACGCGUGGUUUGUCACAGCCAAGCAGUUCAAGGAGUAGGGACCACCAGAAUUCUUUGGAAAGUCGGAUCCAAUUAAGGCAGAAACGUGGGUCAAGCAAAUUACCAAGAUAUUCGAUGUCCUGGGAUGCACGAAGGAACAAAAGGUUCCAUUCGCCACCUUUAUGUUUCGUGGUGAGGCAGAUUACUGGUGGGAAUCUGUGAAGCGUACCCAGCUUGCCGCACUCAAUAUGUCUUGGGAAAUGUUUCAGAAACUGUUCAAUGACAAGUACUUUCCUGAAAGUAUUCGUCACAUGAAGGAGGUAGAGUUCAUCAAGCUGGAGCAAAAUAAUAUGAACGUGUCGCAGUACGAAGCUAAGUUUUCCGAGUUGUCCCGAUUUGCAUCCCAUUUUGUUGAUAAUGUGGAGAGAAUGACGCGAAUGUUUCUGCGAGGUUUGAAACCCGAAAUACAUCAAUACCUCAUUUCCCACAAACUUUGUUUAUAUUCAGUGUUGUGAAUAGGGCUCAGUUAUUGGAGCGCGAUAAUGAGUCAGCUCAAUCGAAGAAUAACGACCAACAACUCGAUGAUAAUCGUACCGGUGGCAGCGGUCAUCGAAACAAUGAUAACCAUUAUGGAGGAAAUUAUCAUGCCAGAAAUGGUAACCACUUCGGUGGUAAUCAUGGCCAAGAUAAUAGAAGAAAUAACUCAAGUUGAAAUUUUAAGAAGAGAAGAUUCAACAAUGAUGGAAAGACAUCAAUGCCAGCACCAGCACCAGCAACAAAUUUUAGGUGAGGAGAACGACCGCCAGUUAGAUGUUAUAAAUACGGAGAAGGGGGACAUAUAAGUCCAAACUGUUCACAGCCUUUUAAGGUGUGUUUCAAUUGUGGAAAAGAUGGUCAUAUAGCCCGAUUUUAUCCGGUAGCGAGUCAAGUCCAGCAGGGACGGUGGCACCAAAGGCGGAUACGGACAAAACAAAGUCGGCGGUUUAUGGAAGAGUGUUUUUCAUGACUGCCCAAAACGCGAGGAACCUGAACGAAGGUAUCACGUGUUAGUUAAUUAUAAAUUCUUGCAAAAUCUAUACCAUAUUAGAUACCGGUUCUACCCACUCUUUUAUUUCUCCUGCUUGUGCUCAAUGUUUAAACUUGACUCCGGAGAAAUUAGACUUUGACUUAUCUGUGGAGACUCCGUUAGGAGAAACUUUUAUCACAUCCACUGUUUAUAAAUCUUGAUUAAUCCAAGUUAGCACAAUGACAUUACCUGUUGAUCUUAUCUCUUUAAAGAUACUUGCAUUUAACGUGAUUUUAGGGAUUGAUUGGUUGACCACUUAUCAUGCCAAAAUUGAUUGUUUUCGUAAGGUUGUUAGUUUUCAUAUUCCUAUCCAACCUAUUAUGCGAACUCAAGCAACCAAACUAUUGAAGUCAGACACUUUCAUAUCAAGCCAUAAAGUCAUUCGUUUAUUGAAAAACGGAUGUCAAGCUUUCUUAGCCCAUGUUAUGGAUUUGAAUAAAGACACGUCAGAUUUGAAUAAAAAUUUUGUUGUUAGUGAAUUUCCUGACGUAUUUCCUGAAGAAUUUCUUGGCCUACCCCCAGAGUGUGAUAUUGAAUUUUGUAUCGACUUUGAACCCACUACAAAACCCAUUUCUAAAAUCUUUUAUCGAAUGGCUCCUAUUGAACUUCAGGAGUUUAAAACCCAAGUACAAGAGUUGGUACUCAAGCCUCUAUCUGGUGACUUCCUUUGUAGAAUGCACCAAAGCCAGACUCUCCGUAGGGAACUCUAUAUUUUUGUGGUGGUAAAACGAUAGGUGCCAUUGUGACGUAUAAUCCAAGAUUGGGAUAUGAAUCACAUAUGAGAGCAACUUAAGUCAGUAAUCGAAAUAUCUAGCUUUCUAGGCUUAAUUGGUUACUAUCGGAGAUUAAUGGAAGGACUUUCUCGAAUCGCUAUUCCAUUAACUUAGCUAACUCGGAAAGAUACAAAAUUCGUAUUGAGCGAGGAAUACGAGAAGAUUUUCUAAGAGUUCAAGAGGCGACUCAUUUCGGCACUUGUUCUGACCAUACCAUCCUGGAAAAGCGAACGUGGUAGCUGACGCGUUGAGUAGAAGAUCGUACGCAAGUACGAGUGCGAUAUUGUUGAGCACAAAGACCUAUUUUGUAUAAUUUACAAAUGAUAGAGAUAGAGUUAAAGACUCUAGGGACCCACGUGAUGAUAUACGAGUAGAAUCGACUUUAAUCGAUAAAGUUAAAACUACUCAAGCUACGGACCUGGGGCUGAUGCGUAUGAAGAAGAAAGUGCAAGAAGGAUGUAAGACCCCAACUUAUUAUAAAUAAAAUCAAAUUUCCUCUAUUUAUUAUUUUGAAAUAGUAAGGGGUGAUUUGAUUAAUGUGGUUAGUUAUGGGUAAAAUGCGCAAAUAUUUCAAAUAUGCAAGUGGUUAUAAAAUAUUCAUUUUUAUCGGAGAAUAUUCGUUUGGUCGUGGAAUAUUCUUACUGUCGGGGAAUAUUCGUACGACGGCGCAGCCUUGUGUGGACCCCAUAACGAAAAGCGAUUGGAUGAAGAAAACGACAAGUAUAAGUUGUUUAUAAAUAACGGCGUAGUUGUUACCGUUAAUACUGUUGGAAUACCCGGUGGUUAAAACACAGUAGCACACAGUAUUUCACCAAUUAUUGAUUCUUACGUAGGAAGGCAUUACUCAAUAAUUUUUACAGUAGUUACUGUUCAAUAUUUUAUUUUAUUGAAUCAAUAAUUGCUACGUUGAUAUUUUAUAUUAUUAUUGUUUCAAUAAUUGUCACUACACAGUAUUUUCAUUAUCAGAUCAAUAAUUCAUAUUAUUUGAAUAAUAUUAUUAGAUAACAUUAUUGGCAAUGUCUAGAAAGUUCUGUCUAAUGAGAGGUUUGGUCACCUAAUUGCACGCCAGUAAGGAGAAAUCCUUAUUGAAAAGCCCCCUCUUUCCUGGGAACGGCCUGGUUGUUGAUAUUGUGAUUUUGUAAUAUUAUUUGUGAAUAAUUAACUAUUGGUUUAUAUGAUAAGGAAAAUAUUCAAUUUAUGUGGAUAUAGAUGGAGAAAAUUUUAAAGUGACAAUUGUUGAAAAAUUGAUAUUUUAUCUUUUCUGAUAAAAUAAUUCAUUUAAAUAUAUUACUAUAUUUUAAUAAUAUAAUAAUGGUGAUAUUUUUACAAUGAAUGUGGGAUAUAUAAAUAUAUGAGGAGGAAGAAUAUUUUUGUGGGCCCAUUUCUUGACUGGAAUUUGAUUAUAGGCUGUAAAAUCGCCCGUUUAUGGAUUUCGGUCAGUUUCUGUUUGGAAUUUGGAAAAACUUUCUUCUGUAAAGUUGUAAAGAAUGAAAUUUCCUAUGAGAAAGACAUAAGGUUCAAAUUUUUCUGACAAAGGGGCUAUUUAUUAUGAAUUAUUGAAGUUUUGAAGUUCUGAAAUAAUUAAUUUUUGGAAGUUUUAAUUAUGUUUAUUAAGAAAAAUAUUUUUUUUAUUUUGUGGGCUACACUAACAUGUGCAAGAUAAGCUGAAAUUAGAUUUCAAAGAUGGGAGUGAAAGUUUUGUAAAAAUAAUAAUAUUUUAUUAAAUUUUCUGCUUUGGUGUUCUAAGCAUUUUCUUAUAAAUAGGGUGCUUAGGUUAGAAUUGAAAAUCACACCAGAAACUGAAAUUUUCUCUCUCUAUAUUAUCGAGCGUAUUCUUAUGAGUAUUUUGAGACUUUGAGUGUUACUAUACGGUGCAAGUUCCCUUCAGCACUAUAUCCGGUAUUCCAGCUAGAAGUACAGUCUUUUCAAGGUAAGGGAUAUUAUUUUUUUAAAAAAUGAUAUUAUUUCUUCUAAUAUCAUUAUGCCGGAAUAUUGGUAAGAUUUUUCUUGUGAAAUUCUUGUCUUUUAGUGUCGUGGUUACUAUUCACGUAUACGACACUAUUCACGUAUAUGACACUAUUCACGAAUACGGCACUAUUCACAAAAAAAUAAAAAUUUCAUUUUUUGUCCAAAAUAUCUAUUAUGGAUACUAGCUUUGAUUGUAUCCAUGUUUUUAUCAUUUUUGAAUUUUACUUCACUACGGCUAUUUAUGACGUAUUUUUGAACUCGGAUUGCUUAAAGUACGAAUCCUUAAUAUUUAUUCUUUUGUUUCACUGGAUUCGUUUUCUUUAAAAUAUUUUUCAUCAUCCUCAGUCCUAAAUGAUGGUAUUACUGAAUAUCUUUGGCAUGUAGUGCAAAGAUGGUUGAUUUUCUUAUGAAUAUCUUUGGCCCGUAGUGCAAAGAUGUACAGGUGUUGAGAUGAACAUGACCGACUGAUGAAUAUCUUUGGCCUGUAGUGCAAAGAUGAAUAUUUGAUUCAAGAUGAAUAUUGAUUGAUGUUACAGGGAUAAAAUAUUGAUGAUGGACUUUUAAAUUCAUAGAUAAUAGUAUAUUUCAUUCUCUACGUAACUCAUCUAUGAAUUAUUAUUUUCGCUGCAAAUAUUGAUCUGAAACUUGUUGUCUAUUGUAUUUUAUCAGAUUUUUCCCUGUUGAAGACUAACGAUAAUUUGUUCUAUGUUNNNNNNNNNNNNNNNNNNNNNNNNNNNNNNNNNNNNNNNNNNNNNNNNNNNNNNNNNNNNNNNNNNNNNNNNNNNNNNNNNNNNNNNNNNNNNNNNNNNNUGCGUUGAUAUUUUAUAUUAUUGUUGUUUCAAUAAUUGUCACUGCACAGUAUUUCCCAUUAUCAGAUCAAUAAUUCAUAUUAUUUGAAUAAUAUUAUUAGAUAGCAUUAUUGGCAAUGUCUAGAAAGUUCUGUCAAGGAGAGGUUUGGUCACCUAAUUGCGCGCCAGUAAGGAGAAAUCCUUAUCGGAAAGCCCCCUCUUUCCUGGGAACGGCCUGGUUGUCAUAAUUGUGAUUUUGUAAUAUUAUUUGUGAAUAAUUAAUUAUUGAUUUAUAUGAUAAGGAAAUAUUUAUUUGAUACGGAUAUAAAUGAUGGAUUUAUUUAUUUUAUGUGGUUAUAAAUGAAGGAGUUAAUGUUGAGGUGUUUUAUCAGUAUUUUUAUCGAAAUGGAGGUAUUAAAAAUCAAAUCAGUAUUUUUACGAUAUAUUGCGUGAGUUAUAAUUUUUAAUUUGACCGUUGGAUCAUUGUGAUUUUUUGAUAUGUUAUACAUAUAUAAGUUGAGUAUAUGUCCAUAAAUUUUGAACCGUUAAAAAUGAACGAAUGAUUUGUUAUGAAUUUUAAGAGGUGACUUAUUCAGAAAUUAGGUUUAUAAUUGAUUUUGGUAGAAAAUUCUAGAAUUGAGUGGGCCCCACUUGUGGUUGGUAAAGAAAUGUGCUGAAUUUUAUUUCAAAUGCGGUGGGUGGCAAUAGUAGCAGGUAAAGCCAUCAGGUAGCAGGUCAAGUCUGCUUCGGCGUGCUAACAUUUUCCUAUAAAUAGAGGGCUAAGUUAGAAUUGAAAAUCACGCCAGAAACAUAAGCUUUCUCUCUUUCUCUCUCUAUAUUAUCGAGCGUAUUUUGUGAGUAUUUAGAUAUUUUGAGAGUUGUUGUUUAGUACAAGUUUCAUUCAGCAUAACUUCCGACCUUUCAUUCUGAAGUACUAUUUUUUUGAGGUAAGGGAUGCUAUUUUCUUCUUAAAUGAUAUUAUUUUCUUCAAUAUCAUUAUGCCGAAUUAUUGGUUUGAACUUUUUAAUCAAAUUUGGAACUUUUUGUGUCGGGGUUACUAUUCACGUAUACGGCACUAUUCACGUAUACGGCACUAUUCACCGAAAAAUAAAAAUUUUCUUUUUUGUCCAAGAUGUUUAUUAUGGUUACUAUCUUUGAUUGUAUCCAUGUUUUGAUUUUUAUUUUUGAAUUCUGCUUCAAAAUUAGUUAUUAUGAAGUAUUAGUGAUCUUGGAUAAACUGUAACACGAAUCCCUAAUAUUUGUCCUUCUGUCUCACUGGAUUCGUUCUCUAAAAUGUUUUUCAUCAUCCUCAGUCCUUAAUGAUGAUAUUAUUGAAUACCUUUGGCCUGUAGUGCAAAGAUGAAUAUUCGAUUAAAGAUGUAUAUUGAUUGUUGUUACAGGGAUAAAGUAUUGAUGAUGGACUUUUAAAUCUUAGAAGAUAGUAGGACUCAUUCUCUACUUGACUCUUCUAAUGGAUUAUUGUUUCCGCUGCAGUUGUUGAUCUAAAACUUGUUGGCUAUUAUAUUUUAUCAGAUUUUUCCCUGUUGAAGACUAAUGAUAAUUUAUUGUAUAUUAUCUUAGUCAUAAUAUUCUUUACUGGGCUAGUUGAGCUCACCCUUUUCCUUUUUGUUCUAUUUUUCUUCUCGGGAGGUGAGAACAUAGCAGAAUCUAGUCGGGGUAUGGAGUGAUGGUUCUAGAAAGAUGUUUUAGUAGUCCUCACUAUUUCUGUAAAAUAGUGUUUGAAUAAUUAUGAGGACUUAUUUGAGUGUUGAUAUUGUCUAGAAGACAAUAUUUGUAUUUAAACUCACAGUAUGUGUUGUCGUAUUUUGCACGACAAUUGUAUUAUUGAAGUUGUAGUUUAUUUUCUGUACCAUGUAUUUGGCGACUCAGGAUGGGUGUUAUAUACCUAUUUUGGGGGCGUCACAUUUGACAUAUUUUUCUAUGAAGCCAUAAUUAUCUUCUUAGAGAAAAUAUUCAUUCAAGUAUACUAUUAUAAUAUAUUAUAAUAGUAUACAUUAUAAUUUAUAAUUAUUUAAAUAGUAAUUAAUAUCAAUAUAAUAUAUAUAUAUAAGCAUGUGGAGGUGAGAAGCUUUGUCUAGUACUCUUUUGUUUUUCAAAACCAGUAUGCUGCAGAUUCUUCUUCUAUAAUAUUGUGAGUAUUUUUUUGAGGAUAAGGAUACUUUGAAUGUAGUUUAUAGUGCAGGAUUUUCUCAAGAUAAUACUCGUUAUAACAGUCAGGUCUAGUUUACUACUAAGGUAAAUGCUAUUAUUUUUCUCGUAAAGGAUGUUAUUUUCUUUCAACAUUCGUAAAGGAUAUAUUUUUUCUCGUAAAUGAUGUUAUUUUCUUUCAACAUUCGUAAAUGAUAUUUUUUUCUUAUAAAGUAUGUUAUUUUCUUACAAUAUUCGUAAAGGAUAUUAUUUAUACUCGUAAGGAGAUAUCAUUUUCUUUCAUACUCCAUAUUAUAUAAGUGAUAUUAUUUUAUUUCAAAUUACUAUUCAUACGGUACUAUGCAUGGAUACUAUUCAUACGAUAAUAUUCAUAAGUACUAUUCACAACAGAAUUUAUUUAUUUUUUGUCUAAAUUAUUUUUGAUAUAUGAAUAUCAUUCUUGAAUUUUACUCCAUAAUUAGUUAUCAUGUUGACAAUUUGGACAUUCUUGAACUCUGAAUAAAUUGAAAUAUAAAUCUCUAAUAUUUAUCAUUGAUCUCACUUGAUUGAUUCUUUAUAUCAUUGUCAUCAUCCACAUGCUUAUAUUGUGUUGAAAGUCAUCUUUGGCUCGUAAUGCAAAGAUGGGUUGUUAAUUGGUAUGAUUAUGACCAAGAAUUGUGUAUUGGUAUUGUGACGCCCCCAAAAUAGGUCCACAACCCAUUCUGAGUCGCCAAAUACAUGGUACAAAAAACAAUUACAACUUCAUUAUUACAAUUGUCAUACAAAAUACGACAACACAUAUCUGUGAGUUUAAAUACAAAUAAUGUCUUCUAGACAAUAUUCACACUCAAAUAAGUCCUCAUUAUAAUUAUUGAUACACUAUUUUACAAAAUAAUGAGGACUGCUAAAACAACUGACUUGAAACAUUACUCCACACCCUGAGUAGUUCACGCUAUAUUCUCGCCUCCUAAGAAGAAAGAUGGAACUAAAAGAAAAAGGGUGAGCUCAACUAGCCCGGUAAAGAAUAUUAUGACUAAGAUAAUAUAGAACAAAUUAUCGUUAGCCUUCAAUAAAUCAAAUAAAAUAUAAUAGACAACAAGUUUUAGAUCAAUAUUCGCAGCGAAAAUAACAAUUCAUUAGAAGAGUUAAGUAGAUAAUGAAAUCUACUAUCUUCUAUGAUUUAAAAGUCCAUCAAUAAUAUUUUAUCCCUGUAACAUCAAUCAAUAUACAUCUUGAGUCAAAUAUUCAUCUUUGCACUACAGGCCAAAGAUAUUCAUCAGUUGGUCAUGUUCAUCUCAACAUUUGUCCAUCUUUGCAAUAUGCGCCAAAGAUAUUCAUCAGGUAAUCAUUCAUCAUUGCACUACAGGCCAAAGAUAUUCACCAUUUAGGACUAAGGAUGAUGAAAAAUAUCUUUAAAAAAAUGAAUCCAGUGAGAUAAAAUAUCAAAGAUUAGGGAUUCGUACUUUAGUUUAUCCAAGUUCAAAAAUACUCCAUAAUAAUCAAUUGUGGAGCAAAAUUCAAGAAUGAAGAUCAAAACAUAAAUACAAACAAAGAUAAUAACCAUAAUAGACAACUUGGACAAAGAAAAGAAAAUUUAAUUUUUAUGUGAAUACAGUCGUAUUCGUGAAUAGUGUCGUAUACGUGAAUAGUAACUCGGAUAAGAAAAGGGAGAAAUUUCACAAGAAAAAAUCAUACUUCGUGAAUAGUACUCGUGAAUAGUACCGUAUUCAUGAAUAGUGUCGUAUACUUGAAUAGUAACCUCAAAAUGAAAAGAUAAAAAUUUCAUAAUAAAAAUCAUACCAAUAUUUUGGUAUAAUGAUAUUGAAAGAGUAACAUCAUUUACGAAGAAAAUAACAUCCCUUACCUCAAAAGAAUAGUACUUCUAACUGAAAUAUCAAAUAUAAUGUUGACGAAAACUUGCACUGCUUAUCAACUCUCAAAGUAUCUAAAUACUCACAAAAAUAUGCUCAAUAUUAUUGAAAAAGAAUUCUCUGAUUCUAGUGUGAUUUUCAUUUCUAAACUAAGCAUCCUAUUUAUAAGAGAAUGGAAGGAUACUAUUUAAAAAAAUUUCACGGACCAACAGUUGUUGGAAUUCACGAGCUGCUACCUGCUGAUCAUCAGACGCCCAACUUUCAAAUUAUUCAAAUAAAACAACUUAUGUCAUUAUCACUUUUCCACCACCACCAUUUUUCACCACACACACACUCACACACACACACACACACGGCACACACACACAUGUUUUCAAAUUCCACCCACCCCACAUUUCAUCCAAUAUAUGGGCUCACCAUAUUAUAUAUAUAUAUAUAUAUAUAUAUAUAUAUAUAUAUAUACCCCCUCCAUUACACGUUUUCUCCCCCAUCCCAUUUUCAUUUUUCAUCCCACAUGUGGGCCCCACCCCACAUGUCACUUUCACACACAUAUAUUAUAUAUAUAUACUGAAUAAUUUUAUACCGAUUAUUUUGAAAAAUGGGUAAAUGGGGGUCCAAAUAAUAAGCAAAAUUUACAACAAAUACUUCAUAAAAAAUCCCUUCAAUAUUUUUAACAAUAUUUAUUCAUCAUUAUUAUAACUCGCAAUAUUAACAACCAAAUUGUUCCCAGGAGAGAGGAGGAUUUUCGAUAAGGAUUUCUUCCUAUUGGCACACAAUUAGGUGACCAAACCCCCUUUUCUCGACAGAACUUUCUAGACAUUGUUAAUUAUGCAAAUAAUAAUAUGAAUAACUUAUCAUCUCAAUUAUUGAUUUAAUAAUAUAAAAUAUUGUAACAAUAAUUGAAUCAAAUAAUGUGAGAUACUAUGCAGCAAUUACUGUAGAAAUAAUUGAAUAAAACUAAGUGACUUCUCACAUAAGCAUCAAUAAUCAAUACUGUGUACUACUAUGCACCCACGCAUAUUACUGUACUUUUAUCACCGACAGUGUUAACGAUAACAACUACGCCGUUAUUUAUAAAAAAAAUCUCAUACUUGUCGUUUUCUUCAUCUGACAUGUUUUCGUUAUGGGACCUACAAAUGGUUGCGCCGUCGUACGAAUAUUCCUCGACAACAAGAAUAUUCCACGACCAAACGAAUAUUCCCCGACAAUAAUGAAUAUUUUAUAACCACUUGUUUAUUUUACAAAAUUUACACAUUUUACCCAUAACUAAUCAAAUCCACCCCUUACUAUUUCAAAAUAAUGAAUAGAGGAAAUUCAAUUUUAUUUAUAAAAAGUUAUGGUCUUACAGGUAUAAUCAUGAUCUUUAAUGUUACAGAUAAAGGUUUGUGAUGAAAGUCCUAUUUGGCCCGUAGUGCAUAGAUGGACAAGUGUUUGGCAUGAUCAUGAUCACUCGUGAUGUAAACAAUUAUAUUUAGCCCGUAGUGCAUAGAUAAUUCGUUGAUUGGAAAUAAUUAUUGAUUGGUGUUACAGGGAUAAAAUAUAGAUGAUGGACUUUUAAAUCAUAGACGAUGGUAGACAUCAUACUCUACUUGACUCUUCUAAUGGAUUGGUAUUUUCGCUGCAGUUGUUAAUCUAAAACGUGUUGCUAUUGUAUUUAAUCAGAUUUGUGGGCCUAUUCACCUAAGGUUUCUAGAACGUAUUCAAGGAGAUAUUUGUGGGCCUAUUCACCCACCAAGUGGACCAUUUAGAUAUUUUAUGGUUUUAAUAGAUGCAUCUACGAGAUGGUCACAUGUGUGCUUAUUAUCAACUCGCAACCUGGCGUUUGCGAGAUUACUUGCUCAAAUUAUUAGAUUAUGAGCACAAUUUCCAGAUCAUGCAAUCAAGACUAUUCGUCUUGAUAAUGCUGGUGAAUUCACAUCCCAAACAUUUAAUGAUUAUUGUAUGUCUCUUGGGAUAAAUAAUGAACAUCCUGUUGCCCAUGUUCAUACUUAGAAUGGUCUUGCUGAAUCAUUUAUUAAACGCCUCCAGUUAAUUGCAAGACCAUUGCUCAUGAGAACAAAACUUCCUGUAUCUGUUUGGGGGCAUGCUAUUUUACAUGCAGCAACACUUAUUCGCAUUAGGCCAACAUCAUAUCAUAAAUUUUCCCCAUUACAAUUGGUUUUUGGUCAUGAGCCAGAUAUUUCCCAUCUAAGAAUAUUUGGUUGUGCAGUAUAUGUUCCAAUUUAUCCUCCACAACGCACAAAGAUGGGUCCUCAAAGGAGGCUGGGAAUAUAUAUUGGGUUUGAGUCCCCAUCAAUAAUUAAAUAUCUUGAACCCUUAACAAGUGAUUUAUUUACAACACGAUUUGCCGACUGUCAUUUUGAUGAGACUAUGUUCCCAGCAUUAGGGGGAGAAAUUAAACAGCUGGAUAAAGAUAUUACAUGGAAUGCAUUGUCAUUAUUGAAUUUUGAUCCUCGUACAAAACAAUGUGAACAAGAAGUUCAAAAGAUACUUCGUUUGCAAAAUAUAGCAAAUCAGCUACCAAAUGCAUUCACUGACUCAAAAGGAGUAACCAAAUCUCAUAUACCAGUUGUAAAUGCUCCAGUUCGGAUUGAAGUCCCAAUAGGACAAUCCACAAAAAUUGUAGCAAAUGAGUCUAAGGCACGCCAAAAGCGUGGUAGACCAAUCGGUUCGAAAGACAAAAACCCUCGAAAAAGAAAAGAAUUAAAUAGACAAGUUGGCAUUAUUGGGGAGGAAAAUAUUCAUGAGGAUAUAGACAUAGCUAAUCAUAAAACCCCAGAAGAGGUUCAGAUACCUGAAAACAAUAAAAAUGAUGAGAUCUCGAUAAGUUAUGUCUCUACAAAGAAAAGAUGGAACCGAAGUGAGAUAGUUGUUGACAACAGUUUUUCAUAUAAUAUAUCGCUUGAUAUCAUUAAUGAAAACGAGGAUUCUGAGCCUAAUUCUGUCGAAGAAUGUAGACACAGAAAUGAUUGGCCAAAAUGGAAAGAAGCAAUACAGGCUGAAUUAAAUUCACUUGCAAAACGUGAAGUUUUUGGACCUGUAGUCCAAACACCCAAAGAAGUAAACCCAGUUGUGUGACACCCCCAAAAUAGGUAUACAACACCCAUUCUGAGUCGCCAAAUACAUGGUACAGAAAGCAAACUAUAACUUCAAUAAUACAAUUGUCGUGCAAAAUACGACAACACAUACUGUGAGUUUAAAUACAAAUAUUGUCUUCUAGACAAUAUCCACACUCAAAUAAGUCCUCAUUACAAUUAUUCAUACACUAUUUUACAGAAAUAGUGAGGACUGCUAAAACAUCUUUCUAGAACCAUCACUCCAUACCCCGACUAGAUCCUGCUAUGUUCUCACCUCCUGAGAAGAAAAAUGGAACAAAAAGGAAAAGGGUGAGCUCAACUAGCCCAGUAAAGAAUAUUAUGACUAAGAUAAUAUACAACAAAUUAUCAUUAGUCUUCAACAGGGAAAAAUCUGAUAAAAUAUAAUAGACAACAAGUUUUAGAUCAACAACUGCAGCGGAAACAACAAUCCAUUAGAAGAGUCAAGUAGAGAAUGAGUUCUACUAUCUUCUAAGAUUUAAAAGUCCAUCAUCAAUAUUUUAUCCCUGUAACAACAAUCAAUAUACAUCUUUAAUCAAAUAUUCAUCUUUGCACUACAGGCCAAAGAUAUUCAUUUGUAUCACCAGUUGGUCAUGUUCAUCUCAACACCUGUUCAUCUUUGCACUACGGGCCAAAGAUAUUCAUCAGUUAAUCAUUCAUCUUUGCACUACAGGCCAAAGAUAUUCAGUAAUAUCAUCAUUUAGGACUGAGGAUGAUGAAAAAUAUUUUAAAGAAAAUGAAUCCAGUGAGACAGAAGGACAAAUAUUAGGGAUUCGUAUAACAGUUUAUCCAAGAUCAAUAAUACUUCAUAAUAACCAAUUGUGAAGCAGAAUCAAAAAUAAAGAUCAAAACAUGGAUACAAUCAAAGAUAGUAACCAUAAUAGACAUCUUGAAUAAAAAGAAGAAAAUUUCAUUUUUUGGUGAAUAGUACCGUAUUCGUGAAUAGUGUCGUAUACGUGAAUAGUGUCGUAUACGUGAAUAGUAACCCCGACACAAAAAGGUAGAAAUUCCACAAUAAAAUUCAUAUCAAUAUUUCGGGAUAAUGAUAUUGAAAGAAUAACAUCAUUACGAAAAAAACAACAUCCUUUACCUCAAAGAAAUAGUACUUCGAAAUGAAAGGACGGAAGUGAUGCUGAAUGAAGCAACUCUCAAAGUAUCCAAAUACUCACAAAAUAUGCUCAAUAAUAUAUAUAGAGAGAAAGCUUAUGUUUCUGGUGUGAUUUUUAAUUCUAACUUAGCCCUUUAUUUAUAGGAAAAUGUUAGCACGCCGAAGCAUACUUGACCUGCUACCUGAUGGCUUUACCUGCUACUAUUGCCACCCACCGCAUUUGAAAUAAAAUUCAGCACAUUUCUUCACCAACCACAAGUGGGGCCCACUCAAUUCUAGAAUUUUCUACCAAAAUCAAUUAUAAACCUAAUUUCUGAAUCAGUCACCUCUUAAAAUUCAUAACAAAUCAUUCAUUCAUUUUUAACGGUUCAAAAUUUAUGGACAUAUACUCAACUUAUAUAUGUAUAACAUAUCAAAAAAUCACAAUGAUUCAACGGUCGAAUUAAAAAUUAUAACUCACGCAAUAUAUCGUAAAAAUACUUAUUUGAUUUUUAAUACCUCCAUUCUGACAAAAAUACUGAUAAAACACCUCAACAUUAAUUCCUUCAAUUAUAACCACAUAAAAUAAAUAAAUCCAUCAUUUAUAUCCGCAUCAAAUAAAUAUUUCCUUGUCAUAAAAAUCAAUAAUUAAUUAUUCACAAAUAAUAUUACAGAAUCACAAUUAUGACAACCAGGCCGUUCCCAAGAAAGAGGAGGCUUUCCAAUAAGGAUUUCUCCUUACUGGCGCGCAAUUAGGUGACCAAACCUCUCCUUAGAUAGAACUUUCUAGACAUUGCCAAUAAUGUUAUCUAAUAAUAUUAUUCAAAUAAUAUGAAUUAUUGAUCUGAUAAUAGGAAAUACUAUGCAGUAACAAUUAUUGAAACAACAAUAAUAUAAAAUAUUAACGCAGCAAUUAUUUAAUCAAUAUAAUAAAAUAUUAAAAAGUAAAUACUGUAACAAUUAUUGAGUAGUGCCUUCUUACGUAAGAAUCAAUAAUUCAAAAAUACUGUGCAAUACAGUGUGCUACUGCGCAACCACGCGUAUUACUGUAUUUUACCCACCGGUUAUUCCAACAGUGUUCACGGUAACAACUACGCAGUUAUUUAUAAAAACUUAAACUUGUCGUUUUCUUCAUCCGACAGUUAUUCUAUUACAAAUGGCUGCGCCUUCGUAUGAAUAUUCCCCGACAACAAGAAUAUUCCACGACCAAAUGAAUAUUCCCCGACAAAAAAUGAAUAUUUUAUAACCACUUGCUUAUUUUGUAAAAUUUGCACAUUUCACUCAUAACCAAAGUAUUAUAUCAAAUUAACUCCUUAUUAUUUCAAGAUAAUAAAUAGAGAAAAUUUAAUUUUUAUUCAUAAUAAGAUGGGGUCUUACAACCUCCCCUCCUUAUGAAAUUUCGUCCUCGAAAUUGACGUACGUACCUGGUGUUUUGAAAAGGUGAGGGUACCUCGUUUUCAUUUUUGAUUCUAACUCUCAAGUCAUUUCCUCAAUAACAUGGUUCCUCUACAAAACCUUGACUUGUGGUAUAACCUUUGUUCGUAGGAUAUGCUCUUUUCUAUCCAAUAAUUUGACAGGUACCUCCUCGUACGUUAAAUCUUCGGCUAUCUCGUCUGGUUCUAACGCAAUAAUGUGGUUUGGAUCUUUCACAUAUUUACGAAGCAUAGAUAUGUGAAAAACAUUAUGAACACGAGACAUACUUGGAGGUAAUGCGAGUCUAUAGGCCACAUUUCCUAUUCGGUCAAGAAUCUCAAAUGGACCAACAAAUCGUGGAUUGAGCUUUCCUCUCUUCCCAAAUCUUGUAACUCCCUUCCAUGGAGCAAUACGUAACAGUACAUGAUCUCCAAUAUUAAAUUCCACGUCCUUUCGAUGAAGAUCAGCAUAACUCUUUUGUCGAUCUUGUGAGGUCUUUAUACGUUGCCUGAUCAUUUGAAUCUUUUCUGUAGUCAUGCGUACUAAUUCUGGUCCCAACAACAUUGCUUCUCCCACCUCAUCCCAACAUACUAGAGAACGACUCUUUCGUCCAUAUAACGCCUCGAAUGGAGCCAUGCCUAUACUUGCUUGAUAACUGUUGUUGUAGGAGAAUUCCACCAGUGGCAAGUACUUAUCCCAACUUCCUUUAAAAUCUAGGACACAGAGUCUUAAUAGAUCUUCAAGGGUUUGAAUAGUCCUUUCUGAUUGCCCGUCCGUUUAAGGAUGGUAUGCCGAACUGAAUCGUAAAUUCGUGCCCAUAGCUUUCUGCAAGCUAAUCCAAAAUUGUGAAGUGAAUCUUGGGUCACGAUUCGAAACUAUGGAUACUGGCAUGCCAUGCAAUUGCACAAUCUCAUUCACGUACAUACGAACAAGACGUUCAAGGGAAUAAGUCUCACGUAUCGGCAAGAAAUGAGCAGACUUGGUUAAUCUAUCAAUAAUAACCCAAAUCGCAUCUAUACCUUGAGAAACAUUGGGAAGACCCGUAACGAAAUACAUGGUAAUGUGUUCCCACUUCCAUUCCGGAAUCUCAAGUGGUUGCAAUGGAUUUUUAUGCACUUGAUGCUCCGCCUUUACACGUUGACAGGUUAAACACCUCGAGAUAAACUCCGCGAUCUCUCUCUUCAUAUUGUUCCACCAAAAUGUAUGUCGAAUAUCAUGAUACAUUUUGGUACUCCCAGGAUGGAUUGCAAACGGGGUAUUGUGUGCCUCCAUCAUGAUUCUAUGCUUCAAGUCAGAAUCGUUAGAAACGCAAAGUCUAGAGUUGACUCGAAGUAUUCCUUCUUCAUCGAUUCUUGCUUCUAGAAUAGCUCCUUCUUGCACUUUAUUCUUCAUACGCAUCAGCCCUAGGUCCGUAGCUUGAGCAGCUUUAACUUUAUCGAUUAAAGUCAGUUCUACUCGUAUAUUCGCCAUCAUCACGUGGGUCCCUAGAGUCUUUAAUUCUAUCUCCAUCCUUUGCAAGUCAUACAAAAUGGGCCUUUGUGUUGACAAUAUCGCACUCGUACUCGUAUAUAAUCUUCUACUCAAUGCGUCAGCUACUACGUUCGCUUUUCCAGGAUGAUAGUGAAUAGUGUGAUCGUAAUCUUUCAACAGCUCAAGCCAACGUCGUUGCGACAUGUUGAGUUCUUUUUGGGUGAAGAAAUAUUUGAGGCUUUUAUGGUCCGUAUAAAUCUCCACUUUCUCCCCAUACAAGUAGUGUCUCCAAAUUUUCAACAUGAAUACGACUGUUGCCAACUCUAGAUCAUGAGUAGGAUAAUUCCUCUCAUAUUCUUUGAGUUGUCAUGAGGCAUAGGCUAUGACUUUCCUAUGUUGCAUGAGAACACAUCCUAACCCUUUGCCUGAAGCAUCGUUGUAGAUAACAAAUCCAUAUGACCCAGAUGGUAUUGCCAGAACAGGUGCCGAAAUGAGUCUCCUCUUGAGCUCUUGGAAACUCUUCUCGCAUUCAUCGCUCCAUACAAAUUUUGUAUCUUUCCGAGUUAGCUGAGUUAACGGAAUAGCGAUUCGAGAAAAUCCUUCCAUGAAUCUCCGAUAAUAACGAGCUAAGCCCAGAAAGCUGCGUACUUCAAUCACCGACUUCGGUUGCUCCCAACUUUGUAUUGCUUCAAUCUUCGUCGGGUCAACAGAUACUCCAUGUUUUGACACCACGUACCCAAGGAAUGCUACUACCUCAAGCCAGAACUCGCAUUUCUUCAGCUUGGCAUAAAGCUUGUUUUCACGAAGCCUUUCAAGUAUCAACUUCAAAUGGUGUUCAUGAUCUUCACGGCUUUUGGAAUAGAUGAGGAUGUCAUCAAUAAAGACAACAACGAACUGAUCUAAAUAUUCCUUGAAUACAUGGUUCAUCAUAUCCAUGAAAGCAGCAGGAGCAUUAGUCAAUCCAAAAGACAUGACUAAGAAUUCAUAAUGCCCGUACCGAGUUCUGAAGGCAGUCUUUGGAAUAUCCUCAGUUUUAAUCUUCAGCUGAUGAUAUCCAGAACGAAGAUCGAUCUUUGAAAAAAAUUGUGUUCCUUGCAACUGGUCGAACAGGUUAUCAAUGCGAGAUAACAGAUACCUAUUCUUGAUGGUGACAUGGUUUAAUUCUCGGUAGUCAAUACAAAGUCGCAUACUCCCGUCUUUCUUCUUUACGAAUAAAAUAGGAGCACCCCAAGGAGAUGUACUAGGACGAAUGAAACCGAUGUCUAAUAAUUCUUGUAGUUGGACUUUUAACUCCUGAAGUUCAAUAGGAGCCAUUCGAUAUGGGGUUUUAGAAAUGGGUUUUGUACCCAGUUCAAGGUCAAUAAAGAAUUCAACAUCAUGUUCUGGGGGUAGACCGGGAAGUUCUUUAGAAAAUACAUCAGGAAAUUCUCUAACAACAGAAAUAUUAUUCAAAUCUGACUUGUCUCUGUUCAAAUCCAUAACAUGGGCUAAGAAAGCUUGACAUCUGUUUUUUAAUAAACGAAUAGAUUUGUGCCUUGAUAUGACAGUGACUGAUUUUAGUGGUUUAGUUGUUUGAAUUCGUAUGAUAGGUUAGGAAUAUGAAAACUAACAACCUUACGAAAAUAAUCAAUUUUGGCAUGAUGAGUGGUUAACCAAUCAAUUCCUAAAAUCACAUCAAAAGCAAGUAUCUUUAAAGAGUUAAGAUCAAUAGGUAAUGUGAUAGUGCCAACUUGGAUCAUGCAAGAUUUAUAAACUGUAGAUGUAACGAAGGUUUCUCCCAACGGAGUUUCAACAGAUAAGUCAAAGUCCAAUUUCUCCGGAGUCAAAUUUAAACGUUGAGCACAAGCAGGAGAGAUAAAAGAAUGGAUAGAACCGGUAUCUAGUAAGGUAUAAACUUCGCAAGAGUUCAAGAUUAGCUUACCCGUAAUCACCUCGUUCGGAUUCCUCACGUUUUGGCCAGUCACAACAAACGCUCUUCCAGGAAUCGCUGAUUUUGACUUAUCAGGGACAGCCCUUGGAGUCACCAUCCCCGCUGAACUUGGUUUCGCUAUAGUACAAUCUCGAGCGAUAUGUCUUUCCUUUUCACAAUUAUAACAUACCUUGGAUUGUUGUGGGCAGUUUGGGCUGAUAUGUCCCUCUUUCCCGCAUUUGUAACAUCUAACUGGCGGUCGUUCUCCUCCCCUAGAAUUUGUUGUUGGUGCUGGUACUGCUGCUGAUGUCUUCCCGUCAUUGUUGAAUCUCCUCUUUCUGAAAUUUCCACUUGACUCGCCUCUCCUAUUAUCAUUGCCACAAUUACCACCCAAGUGGUUACCACCUUUGUCCGUAUUUUUCCCUCCUCGCUGGUUAUUAUCGCUCUGAUGACUGCUGACACCGGUAUGACCCUGGUUGUGGUCCCUCAGUUGAGUAUACUCAUUAUCUCGCUCUAAUAAUUGAGCCAUGUUGACAACAUCUGAAUACAGAGAAAAUUUAUGAGAGAUAAGGUAUUGACGAAUCUCGGGUUUUAUACCUCUCAGAAACAUCCGCGUCAUACGUUCCUCAUUUUCUACCAAAUGAGGUGCAAACCUGGAUAACUCCGCGAACUUCGCCUCGUACUGAGACACCGUCAUGUUGUUCUGUUCCAGUCUAAUAAACUCUACCUCCUUCAUAUGACGAAUACUUUCAGGAAAGUACUUGUCAUUGAACAGUUUCUGAAAUCUUUCCCAAGACAUGUUGAGUGCGGCUGGCUGGGUACGCUUCACAGAUUCCCACCAGUAAUCUGCCUCACCACGGAACAUAAAGGUGGCGAAUGGAACCUUCUGUUCCUCCGUGCAUCCCAAGACAUCGAAUAUCUUGGUAAUUUGCUUGACCCACGUUUCUGCCUUGAUCGGAUCCGGCUUUCCAUGGAAAUCUGGUGGUCCCAACUCCUUGAACUGCUUGGCUGUGACAGACCGCGCGUUGCCAUCAUUUCCACCCGUAUUUUGUACACGAGUCUCCCUCGUCUGAUUUUGCAUGAACUGCAAAAAGCUUCUAAACAUCCCGUCGUUCAUCAUUUGCUCAGUGGCGUUGUUCACAGGAGGAACAUUGCCAGCCUGUUGCACGUUCUCCUCGUUGGUGAGUACCGGCGUCUCCACGGUCUCAUAAACUCCAUUGUUAACGUUCUCAGCAGCCAUUCUUAAAUACUGCCAUAAAACAAGGGUUAAUUAAACAAAUUAACAUAUCACAUAAUAUCCUAUAUUAUGACCGACCAACAAAUAAGCUUAGGUAGGACACACUAGCGAAGGAUUUACUCGUCUCUCCCCUCCUAGUUCUAUUCCCCGAUCUCCGCCAGAGAUCAUAUCCCUAAGCUCUGAUACCAACUGUGACGCCCCCAAAAUAGGUAUACAACACCCAUUCUGAGUCGCCAAAAUACAUGGUAUAGAAAGCAAACUACAACUUUGACAAUACAGAUGUCGUGUAGAAUACGACAAUACAACUGUGAGUUUGAAUACAAAUAUUGUCUUCUAGACAAUAUACACACCCAAAUAAGUCCUCAUUAAUUAUUCAUACACUAUUUUACAGAAAUAGUGAGGACAGCUAAAACAUCUUCCUAGAACCAUCACUCCAUACCCCGACUCGAUCCUGCUAUGUUCUCACCUCCUGAGAAGAAAAAUGGAACAAAAAGGAAAAGGGUGAGCUCAACUAGCCCAGUAAAGAAUAUUAUGACUAAGAUAAUAUACAACAAAUUAUCGUUAGUCUUCAACAGGGAAAAAUCUAAUAGAAUACAAUAGACAACAAGUUUUAGAUCAACAAAUGCAGCGGAAACAGCAAUCCAUUAGAAGAGUCACGUAGAGAAAGAAUUCUACUGUCUUCUAAGGUUUAAAAGUCCAUCAUCAAUAGUUUAUCCCUGUAAUAACAAUCAAUAUACAUCUUUAAUCAUCUUUGCACUACAGGCCAAAGAUAUUCAUUUGUAUCACCAGUUGGUCAUGUUCAUCUCAACACCUGUUCAUCUUUGCACUACAGGCCAAAGAUAUUCAUCAGUUAAUCGUUCAUCUUUGCACUACAGGCCAAAGAUAUUCAUUUAUAUCACCAUUUAGGACUGAGGAUGAUGAAAAACAUUUUUAAAGAAACGAAUCCAGUGAAACAAAAUGACAAGGAUUAAGGAUUAAGGAUUCGUACUUUGUUUUACCCAUGUCCAAAAAUACUUCGAAAAUAAUCAUAUUGGUGUAAAAUUCAAGAAUGAUCAAAACAUGGAUACAAUCAAAGCUAGUAUCCAGAAUAGAUAUUUUGGACAAAAAGAAAAAUUUUUAUUUUUCGGUGAAUAGUGCCGUAUUCGUGAAUAGUGUCGUAUACGUGAAUAGUGCCGUAUACGUGAAUAGUAACCCCGACACAAAAAGGUAGAAAUUCCACAAUAAAAUUCAUAUCAAUAUUUCGGCAUAAUGAUAUUGAAAGAAUAACAUCAUUACGAAAAAAAACAACAUCCCUUACCUCAACGAAAUAAUACUUCGAAAUGAAAGAUCAGAAGUGAUGCUGAAUGAAGCAACUCUCAAAGUAUCCAAAUACUCACAAAAUAUGCUCGAUAAUAUAUUUAUAGAGAGAGAGAGAGAGAGAGAGAGAAAGCUUAUGUUUCUGGUGUGAUUUUCAAUUCUAACUUAGCCCUUUAUUUAUAGGAAAAUGUUAGCACAUCGAAANNNNNNNNNNNNNNNNNNNNNNNNNNNNNNNNNNNNNNNNNNNNNNNNNNNNNNNNNNNNNNNNNNNNNNNNNNNNNNNNNNNNNNNNNNNNNNNNNNNNNNNNNNNNNNNNNNNNNNNNNNNNNNNNNNNNNNNNNNNNNNNNNNNNNNNNNNNNNNNNNNNNNNNNNNNNNNNNNNNNNNNNNNNNNNNNNNNNNNNNNNNNNNNNNNNNNNNNNNNNNNNNNNNNNNNNNNNNNNNNNNNNNNNNNNNNNNNNNNNNNNNNNNNNNNNNNNNNNNNNNNNNNNNNNNNNNNNNNNNNNNNNNNNNNNNNNNNNNNNNNNNNNNNNNNNNNNNNNNNNNNNNNNNNNNNNNNNNNNNNNNNNNNNNNNNNNNNNNNNNNNNNNNNNNNNNNNNNNNNNNNNNNNNNNNNNNNNNNNNNNNNNNNNNNNNNNNNNNNNNNNNNNNNNNNNNNNNNNNNNNNNNNNNNNNNNNNNNNNNNNNNNNNNNNNNNNNNNNNNCCUCUAUUUAUAGGAAAAUGUUAGCACGCCGAAGCAGACUUGACCUGCUACCUGAUGGCUUUACCUGCUACUAUUGCCACCCACCAUAUUUGAAAUAAAAUUCAGCACAUUUCUUCACCAACCACAAGUGAGGCCCACUCAAUUCUAGAAUUUUCUACCAAAAUCAAUUAUAAACCUAAUUUCUGAAUCAGCCACCUCUUAAAAUUCAUAACAAAUCAUUCGUUCAUUUUUAACGGUUCAAAAUUUGUUGACAUAUACUCAACUUAUAUAUGUAUAACAUAUCCAAAAAUUACAACGAUCCAACGGUCGGAUUAAAAAUUAUAACUCACGCAAUAUAUCUCAAAAACACUGGUUUAAUUUUUAAUACCUUCAUUCCGACAAAAAUACUGAUAAAACACCUCAACAUUAACUCCUUCAUUUUUAACCACAAUAAAUAUAUCCAACAUUUAUAUCCACAUAAAAUAAAUAUUUCCUUAUCAUAUGAAUCAAUAAUUAAUUAUUCACAAAUAAUAUUACAGAAUCACAUUUAUGACAACCAGGCCGUUCCCAGGAAAGAGGGGGCUUUCCAAUAAGAAUUUCUCCUUAUUGGCGCGCAAUUAGGUGACCAAACCUCUCCUUGACAGAACUUUCUAGACAUUGCCAAUAAUGCUAUCUAAUAAUAUUAUUCAAAUAAUAUGAAUUAUUGAUCUGAUAAUGGGAAAUACUGUGCAGUGACAAUUAUUGAAACAACAAUAAUAUAAAAUAUCAACGCAGCAAUUAUUGAAUCAAUAAAAUAAAAUAUUGAACAGUAACUACUGUAACAAUUAUUGAGUAGUGCCUUCUUACGUAAGGAUCAAUAAUUCAUCAAUACUGUGCAUCCACGCGUAUUACUGUAUUUUAACCACCGGGUAUUCCAACAGUGUUAACGGUAACAACUACGCCGUUAUUUAUAAAAACUCAAACUUGUCGUUUUCUUCAUCCGACAGUUAUUCUGUUAUGGGGCCCACAAAUGACUGCGCCGUCGUACGAAUAUUCCCCGACAACAAGAAUAUUCCACGACCAAACGAAUAUUCCCCGACAAAAAAUGAAUAUUUUAUAACCACUUGCUUAUUUUGUAAAAUUUGCACAUUUCACCCAUAACCAAAGUAUUAUAUCAAAUUAACUCCUUAUUAUUUCAAGAUAAUAAAUAGAGAAAAUUUAAUUUUUAUUCAUAAUAAGAUGGGGUCUUACAAGUUGGAUACAAAUGGGUCUUUGUGCAAAAAAGAAAUGAGAAAAAUGAAAUUGUAAGAUAUAAAACACGACUUGUGGCACAAGGGUUUUCACAAAGACCUGGCAUUGAUUACAAUGAAACAUAUUCUCCUGUGGUAGAUGCCAUUACAUUGCGAAAUCUUAUUAGCCUAGCAACUCAUGAAGAAUUAGAUAUAUGCCUAAUUUAUGUUGUUACAGCCUAUUUAUAUGGGUCAAUUAAUAAUGAUGUUUAUAUGAAAAUUCCUGAAGGAUUUAAAAUGCCUGAAGCAUAUAAUUCAAAUCCCCGGGAAGUUUGCUCAAUCAAGUUGCAAAGUUUUCUAUAUGGGUUAAAGCAAUCAGGACGCAUGUGGUACAAUCGUCUUAGUGAAUAUUUAUUGAAAGAAGGGUAUAAUAAUAACCCUAUAUGCCCAUGUGUUUUUAUAAAGAAGUCAGAAUCUGAUUUUGUUAUCAUUGCUGUGUAUGUUGAUGAUUUAAAUAUUAUUGGAACUCAUGGAGAGAUUCCAAAGACAAUGAAUUAUUUAAAGAAAGAAUUUGAGAUGAAAGAUUUAGGAAAAACAAAAUUUUGUCUCAGCCUGCAGAUCGAGCAUUUACCAAAUGGAAUUCUCAUUCAUCAGUCAACUUACAUAGAGAAAGUCCUUAAAAGAUUUUAUAUGGAUAAAACUCAUCCAUUGAGUACCCCAAUGGUUGUUAGAUCACUUGAUGUGAAAAAGGACCCUUUUAGACCUCGUGAGGAUAAUGAAGAAAUACUUGGUCCUGAAGUAGCAUAUCUCAGUGCAAUUGGUGCAUUAAUGUAUCUUGCUAAUAAUACACGACCUGAUAUAACAUUCUCUGUGAAUUUGUUAGCAAAAUAUAGCUCUUCUCCUACCCGGAGACAUUGGAAUGGGGUUAAACAUAUUUUUCGUUACCUACGAGGAACUAUAGAUAUGGGAUUAUUUUAUUCAAAUAAUAAUAAUCAUAAAUUAGUUGGAUAUGCUGAUGCAGGGUAUUUAUCUGAUCCACAUAAAGGUCGAUCUCAAACAGGUUAUCUUUUUAUGUGUGGUGAUACUGCUAUAUCAUGGAGAUCUACAAAGCAAACAUUAGUUGCCACUUCAUCUAAUCAUGCUGAAAUACUUGCAAUCCAUGAAGCAAGUCGAGAAUGUGUAUGGUUGAGAUCAAUGACUCAACAUAUUCGUGAAACAUGCAGUUUAUCCUCUAGCAAAGGAACUCCAACCAUUUUGUAUGAAGAUAGUGUUGCAUGUAUAGCUCAAUUAAAAGGAGGAUACAUCAAAGGAGAUAGAACAAAGCAUAUCUCGCCAAUUUUUUUUUUCAUACAUGACCUUGAUAAGUGUGGUGACAUUGAUGUUCAACAAAUUCGAUCAAAAGAUAAUCUAGCAGAUUUGUUCACCAAAGCAUUACCAACUGCAACGUUUGAAGGAUUGCGUCGCAAUAUUGGAAUGCGGCAGCUGAAGAACUUAAGGAUACAUUCAUAAGGGGGAGUUAAUACGCGCUGCACUCUUUUUUCCUUAACCAAGGUUUUUUUCCAUUUGAUUUUUCCUGGUAAGGUUUUUAAUGAGGCAGCUUUCAAUGCUUAUAGCUAUACAAUAGACAUCCAAGGGGGAGUGUUAUAAAAUUAUGUCUAGAUUCAUAAUAUAAUGGAUGUCUAGUAACUCCCAUGUUCAUUAAGUUUUGUAACUCGUGACUCUUUAGUUUUGUAACUUACUAGUAGUAUUGAUGAUCUUACUUCUAUAAAUAUGAAAAUUAUAAAAUGAUGGAAUGUGAUACAAAAGAUUAUGAAAAUACUCUCUUUAAUCAUCUUGUUUUAGUUAUCUUUCAUAACAUUUCAUAACAAUAUGAUUAUAUAUAAUUAAGUCACAUAAUUAACAUCACAAAUUCACAACCUACUAUAAAUAAGGAAGAAAAAACAAAUGUAGUACAAAUAAGGAGUCUAUUUAGCACUAUACUACUACACAGAACAUGUAUACAUUAAUACACCUAAUUUUAAUAUACAUGAUGACAAAAACAAAAUAUUGAUUUUAAUAAUUUAAUAUAGAACAACAUAAUUUACCCCCACUUUAUAUAAUGUAUAGUAUACUUGUUGCUAAUGAAAUUUUCACACUAGUUAAAAUCUCUAGUUUGUCUUCACCCGAACCCCCUUUGUAGCAAUUCUCUUUCUCUCCAAAGUAGUCGCCUCAGUUUCAUUCCGUUUCUUAUUCAGUUUGUAUAAUGAAGUAAAAUUAGGUCUAGCUAUUUAUUAAUUAAGUUGCCAUAAUAAACUUCUAAUUGAGUUCAAUUAAUAUUAAGGCCCAAAUUUUAACCAAAUAAUAUUAUCUAUCACUUAUUAAAAUUUAUUAGCCCGCGUAAAUUAAAUGACUACUUUGAUCCAAUUAAAAGACAAAGACCAAACAAUAUAUUUAAAUUAUAAAUAUAAAUAUUAUUUAUUUUAUUUUAUUUUUUUGGGUAUUACAAAUAGGAUAUCAAGUCCUAAAAAAAAGCAUGAGACUGGACGUAACAUACCUGGUAUGUAUGUUGUGAACCAGACAAAUUUAUGUGCAUUGUGUGAUUGAAUUCUUACUAUCUUACGUAUUAAUUUAUGACACUGCAAAUUAAUUUACUAAAAAUUCAGAAAGAUUUAAAAUAAAUUUUUAAACGAUAAUAAUCUAUUCAAUCCCCUUCUAGAUUAUUUUGUGACUUUCAAAAAUUGACAUCUCUUACCUCAGUAAGAAACUAUAUACUAUUUGUUAUGUAGGAGAUUAACUUGAAAAAUUAUUGCACUAUUAACACUACUCAGAGUAUCCUUAUACUCAAAAGAAAUACUCAUAAUAUUAUAGUAGAAUAAUUUUGCGUUUCUAGUGUGUUUUCUUUGUUUAACUAAACAACCUAUUUAUAUGAUAAUGGUAACACACCUCGUUUGAAAAAAAAAAUCGUUAGUCGAAAACUUGACACGCCAAGUUUAAAAAGCAUUCGUCUGAUUUUUUAUUAUAAUAAUAAAGUAGAUAAUUUUAUAUAUAUAAUAAUAUAUUAUAAUAAAACAAAUAACUUUAUAUAUAGUAUAAUAUAUUGUAAUAAAAUAAAUAACUUUUUAUAUAUUAUUUAUAAUAUAUAUAAAGUUUUUUUGUUUUAUUACUAUAUUAUAAUAAUGUAAUAUUAUAAUAAAAAUUUGCACGAUAAAGGAAAUUUGGGCACGCCAAGUUUGAAAAUUUGUAGGAUAAUUUUGAUUGUGAGUCCGAUAAGAAUUUAAAUAAAGUUGUGGGUCCCAUGAAAAAAUAAACUAAAUUUACAAUAAGCAUCUUAUGUUAACCCCUCUAUUUAUAUUAAAAAUUGAACAAAUAUUUACCAUACAUCACUUAUUAUACUUAUCAUUAAUCAACACCUUUUAUUCAUCAAUUAUUUAUAUAUUUUAAUUUUUCAAUAAUUAUUCACAAUUAAUAUUAUAGAGUCAAAAUACUGACAACUAGAUUGUUAUCACGAAAGAGGGGGCCUUCCGUAGAAACGACGCGCAAUUAGACAACCAUUUUCCUUGUCAUAACUCUCUGGAUAUUGCCAAUAGUGCUAACUGAUUUAAUAAUAUAAUAAUAUAAUAAUAUGAGUUACUAUGAUGUGACAAUAAUGAAUUUAAUAAUAUAAAAUACUGUGCAAUUCCUAUUGUAACAAUUAUUAAAUCAAUAGUUAUAAAAUAUUGUGUAAUACCGUGUAAUAUUUUAGGGUACCACGUGCUACUGUGGAAUAGCGCGUGUUGCUGUACUUUUAUCAUAGGAUAUUUUAAUAGUUGCAAGUGUUAGUAUCGUUGACAAAUUUUAUUAAAAAAGUUAUUUCUAUUGUUUUCGGUAUUCGACAGUUAUGUCGUUAUGGGGUUCACCAAUGAUUGAUUGUUUUGGCGCCGUCGUACUUUAUCUAAUACUCCCUCCAUUAUUUAAUAUAAGUCGUUUUAGAGAAAUAUUUUUGUUUCUUAAUAUAAGUCGUUUGAGAAUUUCAAGUAAGCAUUAAUUGCUUAAUUUUUAAUAUUACCCCAAGUAUUAAAUAUAACUUUUGUUUUCUCACUAUUUUUUGCCCAAUAAAUAACACUCUUUUUUCAAUACAAGAGCAAUAUAGACAAUUGAUAUUAUAUUUAAUGCUUUAUAAUCAUUUUCUUAAUACUUUUGCACAACUCUAAAACGACCUAUAUUAAGGAACGAAUAGAGUAUUUUCAAACAUAAUGAAUAUUCCCUGAAAGAACGAAUAUUUUUCGAAAUACUUUUUAUCUUAUAAUUUGCACACAUUACACAUAACUUUAUCGUUUUAACAAUUUAACAACUUAUUGUUUAAAAUAAUAAUUAUAAAAAAAUUUAAAUUCUAUUUAUGAAAAAUCGGGGUCUUACAAAAUCCUUUUGAAUAUAGAUAAUCCAUCAUUCAUAACCUCUAUCUAUCUGAGAUUUAUAAUAUUAAUAAUAAUACUCUCACUCAGAUGUAUAGAUUUUAUCAAAUAAUAUAACAUAGAUCAAUAACCUUAAUAUCUACUAACUUAAAUGUGACUUAAAGUCAUAGCAGAAUAAUAGUACGAUAAUUUAAUGUAUUAAUAUCAUAAAUAUUAGUGUUAUUCAAAUAAUGAGUCUGUCUAAUUACGUAACAUAUAUGUCAAAAAAUUUAAUUAUUACGAUGACAAUUAUUGGUGAAAUACUGUGCAAUUGCUAUUGUGACAAUAAUACGAAAUAAUGUGUAGAUAUUACUGUAAUAAUUAUUGAUUUAAAUUAUUAUGCAAUUGAUAGUGUAACAAUUAUUAAAUUAAUAAUAUGAAAUAUUGUGCAAUACCGCGUGCUACAAUGGAGUACCACGUAUUACUGUAGAAUACUGCGUGCUACCGUACAAUAUCGCGUACUAUUAUACUUUUAUCACCGAGUAUUUUAACAGUUAACGAUAAAAAUUCUGUCUACAAAUCCGAUAAUUACAUUAUUUGUGGGUCUUAUUUUACCCAAUAUUCUCCAAAAGAACUAAUAUUAUCUGACAUACUUUUUAUUUAUAAUUUACACAUAUCACAUUUAAUUUUAUCAUUUUAUUAAUUUAACACAUUACUAUUUAAAAUAAUAAUUAUAAAAAAUCUAAUUCUAUUUAUUAAAAGUUGUGCUAUUACCAUACAUAAAUUCUGUAUAUGUAUCCGGGAGGGAACACGUGGAAAAUAUGAAAAAGUGAAUAAUGCACCCAAAAUAAAUGAGAAAUCUGGUGUAGCCUUUUAUCACUCUACUUUACUCUUUCCAACAGAUCAAUGGCUACGUUGAUCAACAAACCCCAAACUAAAGUUAAAGGCCUCAAUAUUGCUGAAGAUGUAUCUCAGGUGAGACAAUCACCUAUUUUUUUUUUUUAUCUAAUUUACUAAAAUUAUUAUCUGGGUUGUUUCUUUUCUCAAGAUUUGACUGCCAAUUGUUCGAUUUAGCUCUACUGAUUGAAAAAGGUGUUUUUGUUGAUGUACAUUUGAUAGGUGUGGGAAUCCUCUUUCAUCGAUUGGAAUUCUAUUGUAAAGUUGAGUAGUUUGAGAUAAUGUGCUGCAUAGAUUUGAAUCAGUAUGAAUAUGAUAGUGAAUAGUGAGUGUGAAUUUGAUAUGUUGUUCUAAUUAAAUUAAGUUUUUUGAAAUAGUUUUGAUUUAUUGACUUUUUGUGUGCUUGUGUCAAUUUUGUGAUAAGUCAAUUCUUGUUGUAAGGAAUGACUAGGGUCACUAGACUCUGUUGCACUGCCUUAGAAAGAUGUUUGCGUUCUGGAUAUGAUAGUUGAAUUCUGAAAUUAUUGCAAAUUUGUGAAGUGUGGUUGUAUUAAGUUAUUGGAAAUUUGAGGGUAUAGAUGGAAUUCAAAUGUUUGUUGCUGAGAAAGGUGUCAGUAUGUUUGCUAAGCUUAUGUUGAGUUUAUUAUUUAGUUAAUAGACCAGCUAUGUUUAAUUAUCAAACUUUGGAUUCAUUUAGUUGUUCCACAGAAAAAGAAACUUGGUAGGCUGAUGAUUAUUCAUUGAGAUAUUUUUUUUUACCAAUUUUCCUACCCCCUUUCCUUAUUUUCUUAGACAGCAGACACCAUAUGAAUGAGAAGAAAAUUAAAAUUAUAAGUUAUUUAGGACAAAAUAUGGAGCUCAACUAGCAAAAAUAAAAAUGCGGAGCUCAAUUGCAUUGGGCCAACUUAACCAUGUUGCUUAGUUUAUUUUUUGUUACGACGUAGUUCUUUGUUACCCAAUAGUUCUUAUAGGAAGUAUUUGUAAUCAGUCUGCAUUGAUGCAUAUAGUGAAUCCGAGGAAAGUCAAGUAUAACUUACCUUUUAGAAUCCUCCUAUUUGCAGAUCCAGUAAGACUGAUAAGUUAAAUACAAAUUGCAAUAAUAGUUGGACCCUGAAUUCUUUUUAUAAAAUUCAUUCUUUUGUGAUAAUCAAGGAUGUGAAAGUUCAUUGGGACAUUCUAUGGAAAAAAAAUUCUAUUUAGCUGGAAGAAGGAGAAAAGAAGAUAAAAAGUGGUUUUAUAUUCUUCUAAAAGGUUGUUGCUUUGUUCAUAGGUUUUAGUUAUAAGGAUGGUAAUAGAUGCACAGACUCCACAAGGUGCUAUCUCUUGACAUCUGUGUAUGUGUUAGCAGAAUGAUGAGACACUUGUGUGGAGAUUGUGGAAUUCUAUAAUCAGUGUGCUGGGGAGGAGUGGAUUUGUCCUGGUUCGGUUGGAGAUUUCUUGUAUACUUGCUUCGGAGGUUCUGGAGGGACAAAGACCGCUAAGCUACUUUUUUGAAAGUGUUUUGAGCUUUUUUACUAUUUGGGGAAUAUGGAAUGAACAUAAUGCUAGGUUUUUCAGAGUAGCUGUUAUGUUUUGCUUUGUUGUGCGACAAGAUCAUUUUUCUUGCUUCUCUUUGGGCCUCUACCAUGGGAGCUUCUAAGGAUAUUUAAUUUUAGGGUAUUUACGUGAUUGUUCAUUUUAGAGUUUGGAAAGCUGCAAUUCUUGAGUCAUUAUUCUAUUUUCAUUUGCACUAGUUUUACGGUGGGUGGCCUCCUUGGCCUUGCUGGUAUUCUUUUUAUUCAUCUAAUAACAUAUUAUCUUUAAUCUAUGAAAAAUUUAAUAUAGUAAUAGGUCCUGCUUGUAGUGAUUAUAUUGAGGGUUAGGAUAUUAGUAUAGUGCCACAAACAAGUAGAAUUUUUGGUAAAAAAUUAACAAGGAAUGUGGAUCAACACACAUGCUACUUUUUAUUUUGACACUAUUGUCUGCUACUUAGCUAAGAAGAACAAUGCUUUUAAACUUGUUUGCUACCUUUUAAGCUAUUGUCUGCUACUCGGCUAAAAAGUAUGAUGUUUUUGUGAUCAACUUACAGGAAGCUGAGAGUCUUAUCAUUUUUGUCAUUUGGAUGAAGAAAAAUAUGAUUUUGUUUUUUCUGUUCUUUUCUAGCUUUGUUCUUCUAUUACAAAUAAAUAUUAAUGCGGUUCUGCAUAACUGUUAGUAAACUGACCCUUAUAGGUCUAAUUUUGUGAUUUUCUUUUAUUAGUUCAGUUAUAUUAUUGUGUAGGAACUGAAAAUUUUCUUUAGGAGAUUGGAGAGGUGUAAAUUAUGCACAAUUUCUUCUGUGGAACUGUAGAUUAUCAAUAUGUUAAACUAUUCUGUCAAUCAUAUACAUUUAAGCCAUUUUGAUAUUCUAUUAGUAUUAUCAGUAAAGGGGACUAUAACUGGUGACAUGUGAAUCAUAAAUUUGAACUUUGUUCAUCAGUCAAGUCUCUUAUUUUUUUAUUUUAUCGUUUCAGUCUAUUUAUAUACUUCUGUUUAUUGCAUUUGACAGCUUAUAGGGAAGACACCUAUGGUGUACUUGAACAACAUUGCAAAGGGUUCUACUGCAAAUAUAGCCGCCAAGCUUGAGAUGAUGGAGCCAUGUUGCAGUGUAAAGGACAGGUGAGGAAUACGGAAUUGUUAUGCCUUGAUGAUAUGUUUCUAAGUUUUAAAGCUGUAUUUUGAUUUGCUGUUUCUAUCUUAAGCUCUAUCAUUUUGAAUUUUUAGAUUAGUUCUAUCCCUGUAUUUUGUUGGUGUAUGAUUCAGAAAAGUAAUUCCUAUUAUACAGUUCAUCAUCGGUUGGUCAUGCCAGGGCACAUUAAACCUCUACUCAAGUACAAUGUUUUUACCACGUAAAUUGGAUAUGAUGCUCAAUCUAUGGUCGUGCAUUUAUAUAGUUUUACUGUUUCUCAUGAUUUGAUUCUUGCACAUUUACUUUUAUUGUUAUAUAACGGAGUAGUAACUGUAUGGUACAACUGAAUUUCUUAAGUCAGCCUUUAUUUUUCAAACUCUUAUUUCUAAAAAUUUCAUUCUUUCUUUCACAAGCUUUUCUUCACAAGCUUCAUGUAUGAUCUUCCAUAUAAACUUUUUUUAGCUAUGUGAACCAUUAGCACAUCAAUUCUCAGAAAAUCUUUCAGCAAUCAUGUUGUACCAGCCUUGUUGUGCUGUAUUAUUGAAACAUAUAUUAUUAGACGCAAGGGAGUAUUCUCACAAAGCUCUUCUGAUUUCAGGAUAGGUUACAGUAUGAUAACUGAUGCUGAGCAUCGUGGACUUAUAACACCAGGGAAGGUAACAAGAUUAUGAAUUGAACUGUUAUUCUUGUAUUGAGAAUGUAUACCGUGAAAGUGAUAUUUUCUUUUGCAUCUUGGAAUUAGCAAACAUGUAUUUAUUUUCAAAAUGUAGCAAAUGCAAUAUUCAUUUACAUAUAAACCUUUUUAGUCGGUAACCUCUGAUAUUCGCGCUAUGGUGUACCUAGUUGCAAAGACGAGCCAUUACGUUUCUAAUUAUCAACAACAUACAUGAUAUGGGAAAAUUACUAUCAAUAUGUAACACAUAUUUUGUUUGUCAGUGGCUGUUCAUUCUUCUCUAUUUUGGCCUUGAUUGAGUCAGAGUACAGAUAGGUUUUUUCUGCAGUUGGGUGUAGAGCUGUAAAUGAGCCGGGUUGCCCAUGCGCCUGCCUCGGCUGAACGAAUCCCGAUCCAAGCUUGAACCCUCUGUCUGUUUAGUUGAAUGAGCCAAGUUUUAACAAUGGGGUGUCUGGCUCGAGCUCCUGUAAAAACCUUGUUCCAUAACUAAGUUAGGACAGUAUGUGCUUGUGAUUAGCCAGCACACCCCACAAAAAAAAAAGCUGUGAAAGCAGAGGGGCACACCAAGAAGGCUUUGUAGGAAGAGAGACAGUGAAGAACAUCUUGCUUCUUAAUAAGCCUAUACUGGCAGGAAAGAAUUUUAGUGCGCAUGGCCAAUAUUCUGCGGUAUACAUAUCUAUGCAAUUGUAAAAUCUGAUGGUCCUUGUUUCGCAAACUAUGCACUUCAGCCGGAGCUUCUGAUAUCCCAGCCAUUUGGGAGCUUGAGAUUAAUGAAUUCAUCUCAGUAUGUGUAUAAAUGUGAUUUUAGUGUUGGAUCUGUUUGUUUGUCUCUUCUUCAGUGUGUUGGUGCAAUGAAAUUUAUGUAUCACAAACAUUCCAAAUCUCUACUAAGCUUUCCUAGUAAAUAUGGAAUGCCUGGUACACUAGUGCUAGUUUGUUAUGUCGAUAUCUAUUUGUUCUAAUAAUUGUCGUGUAUCAAUACUUAUCAAAAAAAUGUUUGUCAUGUAUUAAUAAGAAAAUUAUUCUCAUGUUUUUCUAGAGUAUUUUGGUGGAACCUACAGGUGGAAACACCGGCAUUGGCCUGGCAUUUAUAGCUCCUUCAAGAGGAUAUAAACUCAUCUUAACUAUGCCAGCAUCAAUGAGUCUGGAAAGAAGGGUUAUUUUGAAAGCAUUUGGAGCAGAGCUUGUUUUAACCGAAUCUGCAAAAGGCAUGAAGGGAGCAGUUCAGAAAGCUGAAGAAAUUGUAAAUAGCACAGAACAUGCUUAUAUGCUUCAACAAUUUGACAACCCUGUAAAUCCCAAGGUUCGUGUUUCAAUUUAAAAUAGCGUACCUUGUUGAGGCAUUUAACCUAUUCUAAUGUUUAUCAAUAACAUAUUUGCUCUCUGUUUCAAUGUUGUACAUGGAUCCAGUUUUCCAAAGGUACCAAAAUUGACCAGAGUAGUCAUGGUAGGAAGUAACUUCCCACCUGUCUCACACUGAUGAUUGACAUACAUAUUUAUAUGAUAUGGUGGGCAAGUUGUUUGUUGGAAUAUGUUAUUGUGUUAAUUAGUAACAUAGAAUGCUGUUUUGCUGUCCCUGAUAGGAUAAUGAGUGUCUUGCUUUUGUGUCUCUGUUAUACCCUGCAUGAAACAUGGUACCUGUGUGAUAUGUUCCAUGAAUUGGACUUGGUUGGCUUCAACAAGCAUUUCUAACUACUUUGAAACUCUACAAUACUCAAUGAUUAUCUUAAGCCUUAAAAGAUUGUUUUUUUUGGUAAUUUUUCAUAUAAAAUUAAAAAAAAAUACAUCUACUAUAUACUUUGUAUAGUAUAACAAGUAUGUAUAAUAGAAAAACAAAUAAAUGGAACCGCCUAGGAAAAUGCCUAGGCACCCCCCCCCCUCCGCUGCCUAAGUCUGCCCAGCGACUUUUUUAACACUGUUGUUUGAUGGUGCUAUUGUGAAAACAUCGCUUUUGCAAAAAGUAAAAUGCUGUAGCUGUAUGAAAUAUGUUCACAGCUACACACCCAUCACCCAUGUAUCUGAUGCUUGCAGAGUUGCAUGAUAUGCUUACAUUUUCACAUUGUUUAUGCAGUAACAUCACCCUUAAUUUUAUUUUUUUGUACAUGUAAGGUGUCAAAUACUUGUGGACCCAAUUAUAAUGUUAUUCCAGUCAAACUGCUUAAUCGCAUUAUUAUGUAUUUCAAUGAUGGGCACAGGACAAUCUGCUAUCUGUCAUUUGCUUUGGCAGUUGGGCAAUGGUUUAUCCUUUACCACAUACAUGUAAUCUGUCUUACAUUUGCGUUUCUGGUUAUGAAUUUCUUGAAUCAACUGCAACCAGUUAUGAAUGAUCAUAUGACUAGGACUAUGUGAUCAGAAUAUCUCAUUGGCUUAGUGAUCCUUGAUGAUUUCACCGGACACUGUAUGGUUCUUUCUGUCGUAUUGACAAUGAGCUGUUUCUGUCUUAUUUCUAGUAUCAUAUAUUAUUAUUACAGAAGUUAUCAUCCUUAGGUUCAUAAGUCAGCCUUUUAUAAAAAAAUUCUGUGCAGAUACACUAUGAGACAACUGGUCCUGAGAUCUGGGAGGAUACAAGAGGCAAGGUGGAUAUUUUUAUUGCGGGUAUUGGAACUGGAGGUACUAUUUCUGGGGUCGGUCAAUUUCUAAAAGAGCAAAAUCCUAAUAUUAAGGUAAUUCGUUAUCUUCUAAGCCUAUCUAGUAGGGGUGUUCAUCGGUAAAAAAUCGAACCGGUACCGAAAAACCGAAAAAACAAGAACCGGAACCGGUACUGGUACCGAAUUACCGGUUUCGGUACCGGUUUGGUACAAAAGCGGUACCGGUUUUUUCGGUUCGGUUUUCGGUUAUACCGCAUGCAUGGUAAUAUUUAUAAUUAUUAAUAAAUAAUAAUAAUUAAAUAAAUUUUUUUAAUAUAUUAACAAAAAAUUUUUAAAACUAAGAAAUCAUCUACAAUUAUAUAUCAAUUGAAGGCAGCUGAAGCUAGUCAAGACUCAAGCUAGUAAGUUACUGUGUGCAGACUUUGGGCAAUGUAUGAGUUUGAUAUCUCUUUUAGGUAUAUGUCAUUAUUCAGUUAUUUCUGGAAUAUUAGAUCUAAUAUUGAACACUGUUAGAUCAUUUUGGUGCUCUCUGUGUUGAUUAUUAUGCACUAAUAUUAAAAUGUCAUUUGUAAAAAGGGUAUGAUGCAAUGAUUUCAAAUCUGUGUUCGAAUAAGAAAAUUGACUCAUCCCUUCAUCAUGUGUAUUAACUGAUACAAAUCUGUCAUUUGUAAAAAGGGUGGAAUAGCCCAUGGGGUUAUAUACACUGAUACACAUCAUGUGUAUUAACUUGUCUUCAUGUGUGUAUUAACUUGUCUUCAUCAUGUGUAUUAACUUGUCUUCAUGUGGAGUAACUGGACCAAAGACUUGGGAAGGUUAUAUUAUGUGUCGUCAAGCAUAUAUUGUGAUAUUGGGGCAAACAUAAAAAUAAUGUAAUAUAACAACCUGUUAUACACUGUAAUGUUUAUGUAACAACUAAACUUUAGUUGUUAUGAAUACUUCACCUGUUAUACAACUAAACUAAAGUAUUCAUAAGAAUCAUAACAUUCAAAACUUCACCUGUUAUACACUGCACUGCAGCAUAUUCCCUGUGAUAAAGUAAUGCAUUACCAUCAAUUGCCUGGGGAAGAAAACUAAAUCAAAUAAAGUAAUGCAUUACCAUAUUACAUAUCCAAAUUAAAUAUCACAUAAUCAAAGCUGAAACAAGCAGUGCUGCAGUAGCCACUAGCCAGUAGGUAGUACAAAGUUCAAUCAACCAUAUUAAUUAUUACAUAUCCAACUAAUCCAAGAUUAAAAACAAACAACGCACAAGGCACAAUUCUCUCAACUAUCAAGUCUCCAGUCUCGAACAAAUCAACCAUAUUACAUAUCCAAGAUUGAUGCAUCUAAAUCGCCUGCUGAAAAUUCUGCAAUUUUUAAAAGACAAAUGUGAGCAAAUCAUAAUUUAUUAAGAAGAAUUUAAUCUACAUUACAAAAAAAUAUAUAAACAAUACAAAGUGUUACAAUGUUAUUGUGAUGUACCUUUUUCAAUUUCUUCAAGGGAUUCCAACUUUUCUUCGAUAUCAAUUGAUUCGUUGCUUCGGGGAAGCCAAUCUUGAGAACAAAUAAUUUCUUGCACCAUCCUAGGAGUUAAAGAGCUCCUAAAGGAAUCAAGGAUGCGUCCUCCUGUGCUAAAUGCCGAUUCAGAAGCCACGGUAGAAAUGGGAAUUGCUAAGACAUCUCUAGCCAUUAAUGAAAGAACAGGAAAUCUAUGAGGGUUGGAUCUCCACCAAGCUAAAAGGUUAAAUUUUUCAUCUUUUCUUUCAACUCGAUCCUUUAAAUACAUUUCUAGCUAAGUUUGAACUUCUCCACCUUGAACAUCCUCAACAUGUUCAAACAAGCUGUCAAUUUUUUUUUUUUUUCUUGACAUACUUUCUACUAUUGAUGAGCCACCACUUCGAGUUACGCUUCCACUCCCACUUGGAGUUUGAGAUGAAUGACCUUGGGACGAUAAAUGAUUGAGAUUAUAAUAAUUGAACAACUCAAAUAAUACAUCUUUAGCCCCUCUAAUCAUUUUGAUUGUCAAAUCACUUUCUUUACCAUACAUGUGAUUAAAUACAAACUCAACGAAAGUGAAUUUGUGUCUUGGAUCAAGAACCACGGCAAUGUAUAACAACUUGUUCAUUUUAUCAACAUCCCCCCAUAUUUCAUUAACUUUGAUCUCAUCCUCAUAGCCAUUUCUCUCAUUUGAUAAUCAUCAUCAUCUUCCAUUUCUUUCAAAAGACCAUCAACUUCCACAAACUCAUGAACAAAUCCAUUGGAUGUAACAUAUAAUGUGCCAGAGAUUCUAAGUGUUAAUUCAUAGAAGUGUUUCAAAAACAAAACAAUUCUUCUCACAUUACCCCAAUCCUCCACCGUUGGCCACCCUUCACCUGAGAUCAUUUCUUGUUUAAACAAAGGAUCCCUACUCCCAAGCCUAUUAAAAGCACGUUCAAAAUGUUGAGCAACAUUCAACAUUGAAUAAGUGGAGUUCCAUCUAGUAACAACAUCUAGGAUUAAUGAAGAUUUAUUUUCAAUUUUUUCAAACUCAAUACACUCCUUGAACUUUCUAAUCCUAGAUGGAAAUUGCCUUACCCACCUAAUCAAUGCCCGAACACGAGCUACCGAAAUAUUAACAUCUUUCAACCCAUCAACUACGACCAAGUUUAAAAUAUGAGCAACACAUCGAACAUGAAUGAAUUUAUUCUCACAAACACUAUGUCCCCAUACUUGCAAUUGAUUUUUUAAAUAAGAUAUCGCAACAUUAUUUGAACUGGCAUUAUCAACAGUUAUAGUAAAAACUCUCUUAAUCCCCCAUUCUAUCAAACAAUUCUCAAUUGCCAUUCCAAUGGCCUCACCCUUGUGACUCAAAAUUGGAACAAAGUUUAUAAUUUUUUCUCAAUUUCCAUUUAUCAUCAAUGUAAUGAGCUGUCACAACCAUAUAAUUAAGUCUAUGCAUUGAUGUCCAUGUGUCAGUUGUAAUACAUAUCCUUUGAGAAGAUGAGUUAAAAAUAGAUUUUAACUUCUUUUUCUCUUCCAUAUAUAUUUUAAAACAAUCUCUUGUAAUUGUGUGACGUGAAGGAACAUUGAACCUAGGACAUGCGAUGGACACAAAAUGUCGAAAUCUCUCAUUUUCGACAAAUUUAAAAGGAAGUUCAUCAACUAGAAUCAUAUAUGCUAAAGCAGCCCGAGUUAGUUCCACUUCAAACUUCCAAAGACAAUUAUUUGUUGACUCCCCUUCCAUGGUCUCAUCAUCAUUAUUAGCACUUGUAGAUUUAAAGUUUAAGAUUGCUUGAUUUCUUAACUCCACAUUUGGGGGGUAAAUUUUACAUCUCCUAUUGUGAGCAUUUAGACCACUAGUCCCAUUAUCUUUUGGAUCAGCACUUAAAAUAGCUCCACAAUAUUUGCAUUUAGCUUUAAUUUGACCAUUUUGCUUAAAUCUUGUAUAAUGAGCCCAAAUUUUAGCACAAGUCUUACCGGCAUCAAGUUGCUCAAUUUCACCUUCAUUCAACUCCUCUUCAUCAAUAUGAAUUGGAUUUUCAGCAUUCGAUUCCACGUUGAUGGGUGCCUCAGACUGCUGCUCAGCCAUUAUAACCUACACAUGUCAAAACAACCAUAAUUACUACAAUGAAUUGACAAACCAUCUUCUCACAGUAGACAGUACUGUAAUUGCAUGAUGUUUAAUAUACAGGGUGUAGAAUUUGGGAUUUGGUUCCUGUAUUUCCACCAGAUGACCCAUAAAUUAGUGCAUUAUCAUCUACCAGCAAAAUUGUGGAUACCAAUAUCCAAAAAAAUAUUAGUAAUUCAACAGCUCACAAAUAAUAUUAUUUGGACCCAAGGGACACAAAAUGACAGAAGCAUAAUCUCCUUUCAAAACCAUCAAAAUAUUCAAAGACAAUAGACGACCGGUUUCAUCGAUGAAGAUGUUACUCUUGUAGCAUACAUUGUGGAGAGAGUGAGAGACUAGUAUUUAUGUUGUGAGCAAUAUUACAAAAUAAGGGCUGCAGAUUCAAUAAAUAGUACUGUAUAACAUAAUGGUUUAUAUAUAUAUAUAUAUGCCUUUACACCAACUGGACUACAAGUCAAUAAGUCAUAUUCACACAAACAUCGUAUUUUAAUGUGCUGAAUGGUGGGGUUUUUUUUCACGGUAUAAACUUAACCACCGCUCACCGGCACCGGGGACUGUUCCGAAUCUCUUGGACUCGAAAGUCGAAACACCUAGUAUACUGUAUACAGAUCUCAGAGUGUAGAAAACUCAAAUCAGAUACUGUAUAGUGUAUAUGAUGUAUAUGAUGUGUACAGAACUACAGAUCUAAUGACUUACCGUCGGCGCUAGUCGGAGAAGCUUUAAUGGAGGAGAAGCUUCAAUGGAGGAGAAAUCAUUAGUGAAGAACGGGUAGAACUUAGAAGACUGAAGAAGAAGGGAGAUUGAAGACUGAAAUUGAAAGAGUAAAGUAGCUCUAUGCCUCUGUAGAAUUAAAAGAGAGAGAGAGAGACUGAGAGUCUGAGAGAGUAAAUAAAGUACUUUAAGUAUUAAUUAGAGACUUUCGGUUUUUUUCGGUUUUACCGAAUUCGAAAUUUCUAUUACCGCUACCGGUACCGAAAAGUAUAAAAAAACCGAAAAACCGGUACCGAAAAAAUCGAAACCGAAAAAAACCAGUACCGCCGGUACCGGUUUCAACCGGUUCGGUAAAAAAACCGAAAAACCGAUUUUUUUGAGCACCCCUACUAUCUAGUAGCUUCAUGUACGAAUGACAUUUGUUUCAUACAUCAUGAGGACUAACUGAACCUAUACAGUUGUCUACAAUAUAUUAUGAAAAUUCUGAAGUUGUAAUACAUGCCAACUUUUACGUUGGACGCCAAAUGUAACACCCCAGUCUCACAUCUAAAGCGAGAAAAAUUUGUCCGUAUAUAAGGAAUUAAAUUACUAACAAUAGUACCUUCAGUCAUGAUAUUUUGGGCUCAUAUGACCCAAAAAGAUAUUAUUUGGCUAGUAAUUUAAGGCCUUGUUUGGAUGGAUUCAAUUCGAUUCGGACUUGAGAUUUGACCAAAUUUAUUCCAGACUUGGGAUUUAACCUGGGUUGUUUCACCAAACUUGAAUGAUUGGUAUUUCUAUCUCAUCCCUGAUCCAUUUUCUUGUUCUUUUCAUAUUUUAUCAGGUUAUUGGUAUCGAACCUACAGAAAGCAACAUACUAUCAGGUGGAAAGCCUGGUAAGGUUACCUAAUAUUUUCUUUUCGUUUUUUAUUUCAAAAGAAUGUCUGUUGUAUCUUGUUCUAUUUAUGCCAUUUGAUAAUGCAGGUCCUCACAAUAUUGAAGGGAUUGGAGCAGGAUUUAUACCAAGGAAUUUGGACCAAAGUGUGGUCAAUGAAGUUAUACAGGUCUAACUCUUUUUUCCAUUAUAUUUUGGUCUAUUUGGUCUUGAUAUGUAUGUCUCUUUGGUCUUGAUAUGUAUGUUUAAUUUCUGUGUUUUCAUGUUUUAUAAGUGAUGCUUUCCCCCAAAAGAAACCUGAGACAUUCUUUCAGGCGACCUGAGUGAUUUUAGAAACAUUGUGUUACUAUAAUGACAUCCUGGAAAUUACAACACAUGUUUCUCAUUUUCUGAAUUCAUCUCUGAAUUGCAUAACUGCAGUUCGAGUACAAAAUCUGUUAAGAGUUAUCACCUGCUUAUGUGAGGGGCUGAGAGGGUUGAUUAGGCAUAAUAACCAAGAAAAUGAGUGCUCAUGCUAACAAGUGCAAGUUUUUUAAAAUUUCUUUAUUAGUUCCUCGUUUGUAACUUAACAUCAAUAAAUGUGUUUGCAAAUGCAAAUAUAGGAUACUCGUAUAUUAUCUAGACGCAUGCACAACUCUGAGUCUCACGAGCAUAAUUUCCUUUAUUGUUUGGAUGCCAAAGCCUCGUGGAUUUAUUUUCGGUGAUAUGUUCCAAAUCCUGAUCUAGAUUCAUGCUUAUGUCACUCAUAAACUUUCAAUCGUGUAAUUUUAAUAUCUUGUUUAUGCUGAUUUUUGUUUACCUUUCAGAUUUCAAGUGACGAAGCUGUUGAAACUGCAAAACAAGUAGCUCUGCAAGAAGGCUUGUUGGUCAGUUUCUAAAGUUACUAGAAUAUUUUAGAUGGCUAUUUGAAUAUGAGAUCUUUACGAGUUUGGUCGUUUGAUUUAUGUUAUCAUAAUUACUUUCAAUUGUUGUCAUGGCUAAAAAGACUAAUCUUUUCAUGUAGUCUGGUAUUAGGGUAUAGCUUUUGUAAAUUGGCAUGCACCCUCAAAAGCUGCAAACAAUUAUAGGCUAGAACUUUUGACAUAGAGCUGAAAAAAAAACAUGCUGUUUAGUGCUUUACCUUUUUCCAUGAUCCUCUAAUUGAUACAGCACUAGACAUCCUUAUGUUUACCCCUCACUUCAAUAUUCAAUGGUUUAAGCAUAUUCCUUGCAGAGGAUGGGCUUUCUGGUUACUGCAUGUGCUCAGUUUUGAAUUUUGUCUAAUGGCAGAUGUACUUGUCGUGGCAUGUAACCUGAGUUUCAGUUUGGUACUCCUUCCGUCCCACAAUAGAUGUCUUUACUUUUGGGUUAAAUGUUUUUUCAUUACUCUACUUUAGGUCAAUUUACAUUACAGUCAACUAACUAAACUUUUUUUUCCUUACCUUCAGCUAACUAAACUUUACUUUUCUUACAAAUCCUUAGAAAAACCGUUAAGUUCUUUACUUUAAACAGAAAUAUAUACAUAAGCAACUGACUUGUAAAAAAAGCUUAUAUGGAUCUGGAGGAAAAAAUUUAUGGAGAAAGUGAAAGAAUUAUUUGAAAGUAUAAUAUUAAUUAAAAAAUUAGCCAAAAAAACAAGAAAAUAAAUGAAAAAUAUAUUUAAUUAUUUUUGUAAUUAAUAUCAAAUGAAUUUUUAUUUAAUUAUUGAUAAAUAUAAUUAAAGAAAUUAUAAAACAUAAAAACUAAAAAUAUGCUAAUUAAAAUAAAAUAUCCUUUCAAAACAAAUUCAAACCGACUUUAUUACAAUUAUUGGGAUUCACCUUCUCAUGCUCAUCCCUUGUUCGUACUCUGUUUCUAUGAGAUGUUUAUGGGAGUUGGAGAAAAUUUAAAAGCUCCGACAUAAAUGAAUUUUUGAGUGAGCGAAUUUGAUUUGCAUUGUUGGAAUAAUAUAAACCUAAUUCAUUGCCCCCAAAUCCGUAGAUCUUGGUGCUGACAACUAGAGACACCACAGAUUGGCCAAAAGGAGCACCAUUUAAUAACUAAUCAAGAAACUUACCGCAUGGAAUUUGCCGCUGGUCCGGGAACAGUGAACAUCGCAACAGCUGUGUUGUUGAUCAUCGGACCAAAGUUUUUCUUUAGAAUUAUUAUUUUCCGUAUAUAUGAGGUACUCUCGUUCGGAUCCUGUGAUUUUAUACUAUUUGAUUGCCACUUUAACACCUUUGAAUUGGAGCCUUGCUUGCACAUAUAUGGAGUUACCAUCAUCAUCAUCAUCGGUUUCCAUCUUGGAGAUUUAGGAACACUUUUAAUUAGGGUUUCUUUUGGGUUAUAUGAUGAGGCUAGGGGUGACAAUCUGUUGUCAAAACCCAAACCAAUGACUAUCUGGGUUUCAAAACCCGAAAUCAAUUAAAUAAUUAGACACAAAUCAAUCCUUUUUUUUCUUGGCAAUUGAAAGACGUAUAUGCAGAAAAUUAGAAGAAGAUGAAAAAAUAUUCAAAGAUAUACCUUUUUUGAUUUCAGAUUUAUUAUUUAUUAUGAUGAUAGUAGUUGGGUCAGGUUGGGUCGGAUAUUUUAAGUUUGGGUGGAUACGCUUGUUUUUAUAGCUGUGUUAUAGAUAAUGUGUAAAAGACUAUUAAAAGAACAUUCCGGCUAAGAUUCACUCACUGCGUAUGUGGCACUUCCAUGUCAAACUUCCGCUAAAAAGUUUAACACCAAUGACGGAAAUUCGAAUUUUUGUAAAAAAACAAUAGUUGAGUUAGUUGAAUGUAAGAAAAAAAGUAUAGUUAGUCAUUUUUAAGUUGACCUACAGUACAGUGAUGUAAAAAUCAUUUUAACUCCUUUACUUUUUUGAGUGAGUUCAACAUGUAUUUUAAGAUGUAUUGAAGACAUUUUUAUACCAUAUAUUUUCUUUAUAUUUCUUAAUUUAAUACACGUGUAAAUUAUAUUUCUAGUUAUAGUUACAUUAACGAUAUUGAAAAAUUUAGUGUAUAAAUUGGUUUUCGGCAAGCCAUAAUUUCCGCACUGGAAGCAGCCAAAAAAGGAAAUAUCAUUUGCAAGGAUGGCACUAGUAGUAUUAUUAUAUCACAUGCAGUUGUUUUAGCAAUUCUUCGCUUGCUCUUGUUUAUGCAGCUAUUAGUCUCUGUAUUUAUGUGUUUCUAAUCAUGCUUUAUAAUUAUUUGUAAGCCAUUUGUCUCCUCUCCCCNNNNNNNNNNNNNNNNNNNNNNNNNNNNNNNNNNNNNNNNNNNNNNNNNNNNNNNNNNNNNNNNNNNNNNNNNNNNNNNNNNNNNNNNNNNNNNNNNNNNNNNNNNNNNNNNNNNNNNNNNNNNNNNNNNNNNNNNNNNNNNNNNNNNNNNNNNNNNNNNNNNNNNNNNNNNNNNNNNNNNNNNNNNNNNNNNNNNNNNNNNNNNNNNNNNNNNNNNNNNNNNNNNNNNNNNNNNNNNNNNNNNNNNNNNNNNNNNNNNNNNNNNNNNNNNNNNNNNNNNNNNNNNNNNNNNNNNNNNNNNNNNNNNNNNNNNNNNNNNNNNNNNNNNNNNNNNNNNNCACCAAUUUAUUUUUUAAUAUCCUAAUCCUAUCCCUGGGAUCUCUGUCUCUUAUCAGGUGGGUAUUUCUUCUGGAGCAGCAGCAGCUGCUGCCAUCAAGGUCGGAAAGAGACCUGAAAAUGCAGGAAAGCUUAUUGCGGUAUGUAUCUUUGUAUUGUGUACAUUUUCAUUGAUAUUUCAUUUUGCUGUAUUGGGGCAUAUUUUUAUCAGUUUUUAAGGGAAUUUGAUCAAUUUUCACCACAGCAAAUUAUGGUGCUCUCGCCUUAUUAUUUUCCUUGUAGCACCUUUAACUGAGUUUUUAGUCACUACUUUCACUAUGCAACCUUAGGUUUUCAGUGCAUCACCUUAGGUUUUCAGUGCAUCACCUUAGGUAAAUAGUUUACUGCGUCUGUAGCUUUCUCCAUCUUAAAACUUGAGCAUUGUCAGCCUAGCUUCUGCAGAUGCAAUUUGUAAUUUAAUUUCAUUGUAAUGUAUACUUACUAAGUUACUAUUGCUGAUUCUUAGCAAGGUAAGUGUACCAUUUGCAUAUCACGGUUUAUAUGGAAAGAAGUGUAGCAUUUUUAGUUUACAUAUUCGCCUGGCCGCUAAUUAAAUACCCCUUUACGGUCAUCAAACUUAACUGCAUUUGAGAGACUAGUCUCUCGGGAGGUUUUGGUUGGUAUGGUUAACAUGAAUUUGAUCUGGUUGGUAAAUUUCUUCUGCCAAACUGUAUUAACUUGCACAUCAUCCGUCCCAUUUUAUGUAGCCACUUCAAAUGGAGUUUAAGUUCUGAAAAAUUAGAUCAUUGAAUUCCGCAAUUGCCUCUUAGCUUAAUUAUGAUAGAUCGACGAGCUUUAUCAUUUUGUAUACGCAUAAUUUAGGUACUCAUACAAAAAGACACUUUGGUUUUGAGAAGUGACCAACAUUUUGGGACACCCAAAAGAUGGUAUGGAGGAAGCAUUUCAUUUUGGCCUCUUCUGCUUUUAUGUUGUUCAUGAGAGGGGGUCUCUGCUCCUGAUCUUGGAUGAACUUUUUUGUUGAUUGUUGCCAAGGCAGUUACAAAUGGAUCUCUCCAAUCAGCUAGCUCUUGCAAUCACCAAACCUUUUCCAUGCUCUAAAGUUCCUAAAGAAGUCGGAUUCUUGGAUCAGCAAUAUAGUAACCUAUUCCAAAUUUGUUACAACCAUCUUACAUUAUUUUUAUUAGCACUUUGAGGCUAGCAAAGAAGUUGAAUGGACCAUGGCAGUUUGAUAAAUAUAUUGGAGAUGUCUCUUUGUUAUAUACUUGCUUGAUAUUGUAAUUGUAAAUGGUUGCAGGUACUGUUUCCAAGCUGUGGUGAACGUUACCUGUCCACCGUUCUUUUCCAGUCAAUCCGAGAAGAGUGCGAGAAAAUGCAACCUGUGCCGUGAAAUAUUCUGCUGUUUUGAAGCCACUGACUGAUAACAAAACAUUGUUAGUAGCUUUCAUUGUGCUUUAUCUGGUGUACGCCAUGGGUGUUUUGAGUUUUGUUUUAAUUGUAUGGAUGUUUUGUUUGUUUUAACCGGUAAAAAUGUUUGUUUGUUACUGCAAGAAAUGGCGUAAUUAAUGUUUGUAUUUAUGUUUUUGUUGUGUGGAAAAAAUCAGUCACAUUAACGUUAAAAUUCUAAAAAUGACAGGCAAUUUAAGAAUAUGAAUGCAAUUUUUACUUGAAAAAA
RNAcentral lists this long non-coding RNA (77682 nucleotides) under Panax ginseng (ginseng). Its description in RNAcentral is "long non-coding RNA (PGIN_LNC000167)". The record is from RNAcentral. Lineage: Eukaryota; Viridiplantae; Streptophyta; Magnoliopsida; Apiales; Araliaceae.